RNAcentral lists this long non-coding RNA (48191 nucleotides) under Coffea arabica (coffee). Its description in RNAcentral is "long non-coding RNA (CARA_LNC000012)". Lineage: Eukaryota; Viridiplantae; Streptophyta; Magnoliopsida; Gentianales; Rubiaceae. The record is from RNAcentral.
UUUUUUUUUUUUUUUAGAAUAAGGAGCCUCUGGCCUAGGCGUGGGCACGUCUAACUGCUAUAGAGUCCAUAGAUCCUGAAUGAAAAUUCCUUUCCUCAAGCGUGACCACCUGGUGUGGGCGCGUCUAACUGCUAUAGAGUCCGCAGAUCCUGAACAAAAAUUCCUUUCCCUCAGGCGUGACUACCUGGCGUGGGCAGGUCUAACUGCUAUAGAGUCCGCAGAACCUGCACGAAAAUUUCUUCCCCUCAGGCGUGACCACCUGGCGAGGGCACGUCUAACUGUUAGCUUCCUGCCACAAAAGCAACAAAUCACUAAAUGCAACUAACACUUAACAAAAAUUCCAAAAAGCAUAAGAAAACUAAAAUAAAGAGUCUUGGGUUGCCUCCCAAGCAGCGCCUUUCUUUAAUGUCUUUGGCUAGACAUUGCCAUAUUUAUUCACGGAGAAUAAAAUCUUGUGACUCGUUUCAGUGCUUCAUCCUCUAUAUAAUCCUGAUAGCCCUCGUAAAUAGAGUAAUUCUUGAGCACACGAGAUACGGGCUUCUAUGGACUAGUAAAUGGCGCCAAACAAGUCAACGAUAAUUUGCAUUCUCCACUCUCUCCUCCAUCACACGCCUUUAUCGGUUCAAGAUAUUUGACCAUCGUAGCUCUUAACUUAUUCCUGUCAUGAAACUCAAAAUCGUCUGGUAUGAUAAAAUCAAUCUCACUAACAGGAAUUAAAGAAUAUGAGUCAGGAAAAUAUUGAUCAAGAAAUGGAGGAGAUGUCACCGCAUUUGGAGAUUGUUCACUGGAUUCAUUCACUUGAACCAUUUGAUGUUGGGUCUCAUGUCUUGCACUUCAACUUCCUUUUCAACUGUAAUUUUAGAUCCUUCUUUUUGAGAUUCUCGCAGCACCAUGUCAUUCGUCAGGAUAAUUGCACUCUCAUCUUCCUCAUGGUCGAUAAUAGUUUGUGAGGGCAAUUCUUCACUUUGAGAAACCAAUCGAUUUAUUCUGGAUGUCAAUAGACAUAGUUGAUCUGCCAGAUAAUUCAUUGCAUCCUUCAUCAUCCCAUUCCUCAUUUGUGUCUCCUGUUGGAAUUGGUAUGUAUUAGUAGUUAUUGGUUCAACUAUCUCUUCAAGAGACAUACCUGACAUAGAUGACGAUUCUUGAGACUCAUACUGCUGAAAAUUCAUUGGCCCCGUUGUAUAAUUAUAAUUGGAGUUAUCCCACCCUCCUUGAUCAUACCCGUAUGGAUUAGGGUUAUACCACGUUUGAGACCAGGGUGAAAAAUCUCCAUAAUUAUUGAGUGGGACACUCAGAUUAUCUUGAUAUUCGGGGCACAUACUGGUUGAAUGAUCCCUGGCAUAACAAAUUUUACAGGUUGCAGCAGCCAUUCUUUUUCUAAUAGAGUUUACUGCCUCUGCAUGUGCAAACUUAGAAAAAAAACUAGUUUCAUCGCCUUCCCCGGAAACAAAAUCCAGUCUAUCACCAAAAUACGGAGUGUUAGAAGCCAUAAACUAUAUAUAAAAAAAAUAAGAGAAAAAUAAAUUAAAAAAAUUAAAAAAAAUGAACUUAAAAAGAAACAAAUUAAUCUGGCACCAGUCCCCGGCAACGGCGCCAAAAAUUGACAGGUGCCGAACCUGUGCAAUAAUAAAUACCUACUCGAGAAAAAUAUAGAUUUUGUAUAUAGCGGUGAGCAGGGUCGAAUCCACAGGGAAUGGGGAUAAUUCGUUUCUUCUAGAGUCCAAGGUAUGGGGGGUUUUGGAUUAAAUGCUAACUAAAUAAAUUAACUGCAGAAAAUAAUUGAUUAAGAGAAAUAAUUAAGGGAAAACUCUAGCCAAGGGUACACUUCAGAAGUGGUUCAGGCACUGAUCAUUGAUUCACAGAUAAUUCCACAUUUAUUAAUAGACCAGUUAUAGUUGUCAUGCACGCGAUAAACAACCAACCUUUCCUUAAUUUCUCGAUAGUUAAGGUACGACCGUUAACUAUUUCUCUAACCAAAAAACAACCCUAGGUACGACCGUAGGAUUUAAUUUCUAGAUUGCAUUAAUAAUUAGAAAGGCCCAAUUCUAACUAACAAACACGCUACGAGGGUUUGUUUAAGUUAGAUCAUAUGCUCUCCUGACAUAAACCCAAUUACGCCAGUUGCUACUGAGAUAAAGAUAACGAACAAUUACGGAUUCAAUUAUCCCUAUUUAGCAAAAUAGCCUAUGUGAAUAAUUAAAUAUUGCGCAUCUAUUCAAUCACUCACACGAGCUAUAGCAAUUAAAAGCAGGAAACAUAUAAAUACCAAUAAAUUAAGGAAGCAAUUAAAAUAAAUUAGAUCUCACAGUAAUUGUUGAACCAAAUCUUCAGUUGUCCCCUUGACUUGAAUUAAGAGGUUAGUUCUCCAUUAAUGGAGAACAACCAUGCGAAAGAGCUAAGAAAAGAAAACUAAAACUAUACUAAAAACCUAAACUAAAAAACUAUUCAAUCCCCCAACCUUCUGCACGUUUCUCCCUUUUUAAAGCCAAAAGAAAGUCUAAUGCUUUCCCCCUUUUCCGUGGUCCCCGCACGAAUUGAGAGUUAAAGUCCAAAAAGGAAACUCUUCCACAAGGUGGGGCCCAUCCGAAUUGCUUCUUGAUUUUAAGCCUCUGUACGUUCCUAAUGACUAAGGCUUCUUAUCUCGCUGGUCCCACCAAAAUUGAGAGUCCAAAUGCUCCAAAGAAGGUCCUGCGCCAUUCCUUGUAUCAUGUUUACUCUUGGUAGGACUCCUAGUCAGCAAAAAGGUAAAUGGAAACCCGGUCCUUCUUAGCAAUGUGGGCCAAGUCUGUGGAGUAUUUAGAAGUCUCCAUAUUCUCCAAAAAGUACCUCCUUUUUUGUAGUUUUCUGCUCUAUUCCCUGAAAUUGAGUCCAAUACCAAAUAUAAGUAAAUAUUAAUAAUUAAAACAAUAUUUGGCAAGGAUAAAGGGGAAAAUUAGCAAUAAAAUAACCAACAAUUAACACCCUAUCAGCAAAGCAAACAAAAUUGGGGUUGCAAGUACUGUUAGAUUCGGAGCUAUAUGAUGCUAUCCUUGUAUAAAGGAGGGGAAAUUGGAAAAAGGCCACUGACCAGAGGACUUUGGAUCACGAGGCGUGCCCACGCUUUACAGGACUUUUGCCCCUUAAAAAAAAAAGGAAAAAAAAAAAACCUGAAGAGACCUCAUGACCAGAGGACUAUGGGCUACAAGGCGUGCCCACGCCUUGCGAGCAGCCGCAAAAAAAAAAAACAAAAAAACAAAAAAAUUUGGGGCACUUGUACAGGGUGUACAGCAAAUGGAAACUGCCCUGCUUGUGAAAUUUCCCCGGUAAAGCACUGUGGUUAUGGGUGGGUUUCGGACAUUCUCUUGACACUUUACCCCUAUCUAUACCUUCUUAACUCGCCUUUCACUUGAGCCCCAUUACAACCCUAUUAAAGUCCCUUUGAUUUAUGUGUUUAGUUCACUUUUAAGUGGUGGAGAUGUGAUAAAUGUGCAAGCCUAUGGUAAUGGCAUUCCGUGAUGUUGAAUUGAGCGUUCCUAGUAUUCAUAUAUAUUCUUUGAAUUACAACAUGUCCGGUGUGUUCUACCUUGGUGAUAUUGUCAGGGACCCUAGAUGCUUGUGUUAGUAUAGACUAGACUACUACAUGACCUCUGCUCUCUUGGUUGUACUUCUGAGCUCCGAAAUGCUUGAGGCAAGCAUUGUCUAGGUGUGGGGGGAUUUGAUAGAGCCGUUAUUUGGCACGUUUUGCAUUGUCAUCUUGUUCUAAUUUUGGCUAUUCAUGGUGCUAAGAAAGGGAAUUUCACUCAUAUUUGAUAUUUGUGUGAAUUGUAGGUGGUUAGCAUUAAAAUGAUAUCGCGGGGUAAAUUUUCAGAAGACUUUUCAUUUCAGAGCGUGGCCAGCGCCUUAAAAGGAGGAUGAAACCGAAAGCCGGACUGCGGUCCACGUGAACCCGAAGCGUGGGAUCAGAACUCUGGAGACAAAGCUUUGCUCCAGGCCUUUGUUCCAGACGUCUUUUUCUUUUCUACGUCUCUUGUGCGGCGGAUAUAAAAAGCGAAAACAAGGAAGAUUCAAGGGGCAUCUAUUUUUGAGGCUUAGUUUUCUUUUCCUAGGUUUGUCAGCAGUCAGCCGCUUUUGACUGGGGGCUUUUGGCAUUCUUCAGCCGCAACUUAGACUAGUUUAGGAGUUCACCUUUUCAAUCUUUUGCUGUAGACGCCUUUGACGUUCGCUUUUGAUUUGCUACAAUUUUCCAUCGCUUUUAUCCUUUUUCUUGACUCUGCUCCAGGAGCGACGGAAUAUAAGGAAAUGAACCAAGGGAAUUUCCCAUUUGUUCCUUAGUUAAUUCACAUCGCUCCGCUCCUUGGAAUUAAUUGUUUGGAUGUUUGCGUGGAUGAAAUCAAUUAAAUCGCGUGAGCUUGGCAUGAUGAGGAGCAGCUAAUUUUCUCCUCUACCCAAAGGGUGACGUGAGGCGCGGUCCAUAAUAUCUGUGAGAUCUAAUCAAGCUUUCAUUAUUUCUUCCAAUUCGUUAUUAUUCGUGCGUUUUCUGAAUUAAUUGUUCAUGGGUAUUUGAUUAAUCGAAUAUCAACGGCCGGGUAUUUGAUUUAAUUUAAUAGCCUACUGCCACGUUAAUUAAAUAGAAUCCGUAAUUGUUCAUUUAGUUAACACCCCGUGGCAACCACCAUAAUUGGUUUUAUGAUGGGGAAACGCAGGAUCUAGCUUAAAUAAACCCUCUUAGCGUGUGUUAUUGGUUAGGGUUGGGUUCUUCUAGCUUUAAUGCAAUUGGGUAAUUAAAUUCCUAUGGUCGUACCUAGGGUUGUUAUCUGGUUAGGGAAGCAAUCAAUGGUCGUACCUUGACUGUCGAAAAGGUAAGGAAGAACUGGUUGUCAGAGCUUAUUGAUAACUAUAACCAACCUAGUGAUGAAUGGGUGAAAUAUCUUUGCAUCGAUGAUCAUUUAAUUGGACCGUGCCUGAGCAGUUGAUCCUUUGGGUGGAAUCUUAUUAAUUGCUAUUUUUAGUGAAUUGUGCUUUGUGAGUUAGUUCUGAAUUUAGUUCGCUUUAUUUUUUUUAUUUUACUUUUAUUUUAUUUAUUUAUCUCCCAUUGAAAAUCCCCCAAUUUUGUUCUACUAAUUUGGAAAGAAAUAAUUUCCUACCCGCUCCCUGUAGAAUCGACCCUACUUGCCAUUGUACGCGAAAUUAAUAUUUUUAUAGACAAAUCCGGUAUAUCGGAUUAAGCAAACUCUUCGGGAACAGGAUGAAUCAAGUAACCCAUUGCACACCUAGGGUCCCUGCUCCAGUAAUUGGAUUUGUUCUAUAAUUAUUUAAUUGAGGUGGUAAUUAGAACUUUUUAGUAAUUAUUAUUGCACAGGUUCGGCACCUGUCAAGAAUCCUGAUUUACGUACUUGACAUUGCAACCACAAUAAAUGAUAAAUGACAUGGACAAAGAAAGAGGCCAGUACAAACGCACUCAAAGCAAGCAAGUACUAAAGCCAUCAAAAGCCGGAACAAAAAAUUGAAUACACGCAACAUAAUAAGAAUAAAAUCGACAUUGACCAAGUUUGGUCUUUAAAAAAUCAUUCAUCAAAGAUAAAAUGAUCCCUCUUCACAACAAUACUCACCUGAAAGAUCCAAGUCUGGCAUUUGUGUAUGUGGCUUGUCUAAGCAACCCAGCACUCAAACCCUGCUCAGAAUUUCAGGAUGACAUGAAUAAGUGAUGCAUAAGUUCCCAAAAAAGUUCCUUGAUGGAAGCACAAAAGACAUGCGUAACAGUCCAGAAAAAAAAAAAGAGCAGCCACAUUUUGAACUGACAAAACAGAGAGUUUGGGGAAGAAUCAUUAGCAAGGAUCAAGCCAAAUAUUUACCCAAAAAAAAAAAUGAAAGCUCAAAAUGAAUCUUGUAUAACAUAUGAGAGCCUGUAAGCCUACUCAAUAGUGCCUAUGGACAAUGGAACAACAGCUCCAUACAGAAUGAAAGCGACUGCAUGUAUUUAAAAUCUCUUAACUAAUCCUAAUAAAACAAUUAUUCAUACUACUUUUGGAUUUGAGGAUUAAAGAGAGUGCAAUUCCAAACGAAGAAAAACUGUGUCUUCUUCAAUUUGUCUUUUUAAGAGACUGACACUGUCUAAAUUGAAAUUUAUUUUGAUUAUAACAUUUGCCCGUGUGGAUAUACUUUCCUAAUAUUAUUAGAAAGUUUGCUCCAGUAUUUUAUACGAUUUGACUUUUGGUAAUCUGAUAAUCCAAUGAAGCUUGUUCCUGUUUACAUGUCCAAUAAAUAAACAUGCUUGCCAUUCUCCUUAGUUUUACUGCUCUUUUUCUUUGUAAGAAUAGUCAAAUUAAUUGUUUCAAAUCUUAAAGAUAUGGAACAGCAGAGUGAGACGAUGCAGCAUGAACAAAGCAGAGGUUCUAUGUAUUCAUUUGUUACAACUGCUGUCUUCUUUUUCACCACAUGUGUGUUUUUUAUGGCUAGAGCCUAUUGUUGUAUAAGAAAUGUUCAGAAAAUGUACUACAUUUAUCUGCCAUAUGCGAAAUUAUGUACAAGAUCUUCAAAUUCCCAGGCUAUGGGCCUGAUGUGGAAAUUGCUAAAGUUAAUUGCUUUUUAAUAUUCAUUUGUAUGAGAAGUUUUAAAUUAAUAGCUUGUGUUUGCAGAAGUUUAUGUCGAAGAAAAAUCUUUCAGUUACCUUUAUAAUGAGGAUGACAUUGUUGUUCUUAAGGAGUAAGUCCUAACUUAUGGUCUUGAUUCUGAGCUGUUGAUCAUCUUCUGAAUUUAUUCGAAGGCUUGAUGAUUAUUUGUAAUUAUGCAGGCCUGAGACAUAUGCACAAAUUAAUGUUCCAAAGCACUUGUUUGGUGAAUCUCUUCCAUACCUCCAGGGUAAAAAUGUCACAUGUUUUAUUUAUUUAGUUCCUUUUUCCUGUUCUACAUUGCAGAUAUUGUAGAAAUUUGUGUGUGCCAAAGGAAUGUUUAAAUUUUGGAUGAAAUGGCAGCUAACUUAUUUGAUUGACAUGCUUAAUGAUUAGAAAAUACACUUCAUGGACCUCAUGGAAUGCAGAUGAUAUGAAAGUUAAGCUGCAACUUUACGAUGAGAAGCCGAUGUCUGUGUCAAUUCCUCCGAAAGUGACAUGUACUGUUGCUGAGGCACAAGUUCCAAUAAACGGGUCUACAGCAACUCCUCAAUAUGUUUAUCACUUUUUAGAUUGUAGGCCGAAAAGAACCUCAACAUGUAGUAUUCAUAUUUGUCCAGAACCUAACCAGGCAUAGUUUGUAUAGGUGCUCCUGCUCUAAUGCUCUUUACAUCUCAUCUAUCUUGUUCAGAUUAAGUUGCUAUGCAAUAUCUCUGGUCCUCCUUUGGUUGUCAUUUUUCUGUCAUUGCAUUGCAACUUAAAUAGCUUGCAGCUGUGUCUUCAAGUGGUUGUGCUUGCUUGAUACUUGUAAGGAUUUUGUCUCAUCUGUAAGACUUCUGAAUGCUUUGACACAAAAUCUAGUAUCCCUCAAGAAUUUUAGUUUACCUCAAGUUUUUCGUGUUUGAAGUUGGUGUACAUAUUUAAACAAAUGUAUAGCUCUUGCAUAGUUUAAAAUUUCUCACACAAUUUUUCAGCAAAAGCAAAAUUUUGCUGGUGUUUCUUUGCAUUUCUGUACUUCAGCAAAAUUUUCUGUUGCAUGAAUAUGCUCCCGUCCAUAGUGUGUUCAUGUUUGUCGGACUACAAUUGAUCUUCCAGUGGUUUAAUGCCAGCAUGUUUUGUAUCAGUAAAGACGACUUCUAAGAGUGUGAGGUAUCAAUAUCUUUGGAUUUCUCUUAAAUGCUAAAAUUAGGAAAUGAAAAGGGCGUAAGUUGAGAACUGGAAAAGAAAUUUCUACUGUAUAGUCUGGUAAAGGCUUUGCAUAAUUGGAAAGGGUUCCUUCUUGUUAAGACCAUGUAUUACUUAUAGGAGAUGGCCGGUUGGUUUACAUGCAAUUGGUAUGUUUAUUAUUUAUGAAACUAAAUUUGUGAUUUUGUUGCUGAGAGGGUACGGCGCUGGUAUGUUGAAUCAGCAAAAUCAGUAACACAUGAGAGCAAGAGAUACAGUCAGGGAGAGUCUCUUUUGUUGAAUUGGUUGCAGUGACUAAUAUGUCCUCUGAAUAUGAAAUGACUUUGGUGGAUAUAAAUCUUCUUUUAAGUACUACCAAAGGAAUGAAAGUUUUAGACCAACAACUAAGUCUUUGGCACUAUGAGAUUUGUUCAGAAAGUCAAGCUUGCUAAUCUCCUAGUUCUGCUUCUUCCUUCUCUAAUUCUGAGUUCCUAGUUUCUCAUAAUUUUUCACUUUUACAGGUAUAAGAAGGUUAAGCUGGACAAUGGUCUCACAGUUCAGGUGAGUUGAUCGUGUUCUCACCUAUGAUUCAUGAUUCUUUUCUAGACAUUAUUACUCUGUAGCCGCUACCAGAUGUGAUAAAUUGCCAUUAUGUUAACCUAGCAAACGUGAUGCAGAACCAACAAUAAACAAAUUUGUCUUGUGAUGUUUAAAUGGAUGGAUGCACUGUUGUAAAUUGCAAUUUGAGACCGAUUUUCCUGUUAAACAAUUUCUGAAUGAGAUUACUGGACCAGAAACCGGGGAAACCAUGUGAAAGAAUGAGGUGAAGAAAUGUGUUGACAAGUAAUAAUCUGUGGAUCUUGGCUUUUUACUUGUGAGUGACUACAUUCGUGUGAAUGUGAUGGACACCACAUUCGUCAUGACUUCGGCCCAAUAAUGGAACCAAGCAAGCAUUUUGGACAAUGUUGAAAAAUUGAUGGAAAGUAAUUGAAGUUGGUAUUUAGAGCUUUUCUUAUAGAUUGCAUCCUUAAAAAGGUAUAGUGAAGGUUUGCAUAUAAUCAUGUCCACUAUAGAUGGUCCCUUUUUUGGUUUUGGGGAGGAGGUAACAAGUGAGAGAAAAUAUGUAGAAUACUUGCUUAGAAUGAAAUAUUUGGAACGUAAUUGUGCUAUUGUUUUACUGGAGUGUUCUGCCUAAAAGACGAAAUAUCCUAGAGAGACUUGUGUUUGGCAAGGAAGAGUUUAGUCUCCUCAAAUUUAUUUAUGUUUAAACCUGAUUGACAAUACCUGUGAAAAGAAGAGAGAAAGGAUGUACUCGUGAAAGAAACUUCUGGGGUCGUCCUUAGGAUCCUAGGAUUACAUUUGGUAAGGAACUACUGAGAUAGUCAUAGCUAAAACAGUUAUAGUAGAAAAGGGGUGGGCAAGAACUCUGGGGCCAAGAUCUUGGAAACUCUAUGCUCUUUUGGAGGAGAUGUGAAGGCAAAAAGCCGCCCUAGCAAAAGGAAAAGUACAGAGUUGCUUCAAGCAGUUCCUGUUUUUUUUCCUCUGCAUUUUUACUCAGUUAUCGCAUGCUUAUUGCAUUGUUUGUUUUGGUAAUACUGACACUUGGUGUUGGUUUACUUGGAGUUUUGCCUAAUACAUGUAAUUGGGCUGAUUUAUAAGAAGAAUCUUGUCCGUGACUUGGCAUAUUCUAGGGAUUGGUGAAGGGGAAGCAUUGUAUUAUUUUCUUAGUGUUCUACACAAAUAAAUUUGACAAGGAUUUCCGUAAUUGUUCAUAUUUUUUAUGUUGCCACUUGCAACCCAGAAUUGUUUUGAUAAAACUUAGCAUGUGGUGGCACUGUCAAAGUAAAUGAAUAGAUUGUUUUCUUACUCUUUUUAUGUACCCCCGUUUCUGUAGGUACCAUCUUACGUGUUAGCUGGGAGAAGAUAAUUAUCAAUACUGCCGAUAAUUCUUUCAUAAGCAGGUGAGUGUAAUGUGUGAUUCUUUUCCAUGAGAAAUUGAAACAUACGUCAUUCGCUACAUUUCCUGGUCGUCUUGGCAUCCCAAUACAUGGUUUUAGGAAUUUCUUAUUUCCUGUUAAGCUUAGUGCACGUUGACAUCUCUAUUCUUGUCACCUUUUGGUAAAUACCUAAUAGAUUGGGUUCAAUUCAGAUGCUUUCCAACUCAAGCUGCCUCAUUGGUUUCAUUUUUCCUGCUUUUUGUGGCUAUAUGUUAAUCCAUUCUAUUUCAGGAUCUUAAUAUCGUGUGGUGUCUUUUAUUUUGUGCAUUACAGAAUUUUGACUUUGCAAAUAUCCAAAAUGUACGUCUGACAGCACAUUUUCGUGUUGUUUCGCAGGGCUUAAUCUGGGCCCUUUUGAAUGCUCUGGAGUUUAUCGUUCAGGAUGUACCUUUUCUGCAGACACUCAUUAUAUAGGAUUAGUCCAAAUUUUGUCACUAUAGGUUAUGAAUGGGUUGAUGAGAAACAAGUGUUCAUUUCGGGGUUACUGCAUAUGCAAUAUUUCUUUUCAGUGAGAAUGUUUUACAUUUUGCAUAUUUAUGAGAAUCCCACAUUUUGCAUAUAUUUGCCCAGUGGUUUUGGGAAAAGAAUUCAGCAGUGACAAGAAUAGAAAAGGAAGCAUCUACUUGUAAUGUAACCCAUCUACCAAGGCCUAAGGGUAGCUGCAAAAUUGGACAGGCCAUUCAGGACAGGGACAACCAUGCCCCAUGGACUACCAUCUUCAAUGUGCUGCUCUACUGCAAAUAACAAUUGCAGAUGAUAAACGAGGUCUUAAAUGUGGCAGAUGAUAUAAAUCCACAACCAACCUCUUCAGACAGUUAAUUUCCUUCCAUCAUUCACAGACUAUUUCAGGGGGAAAAAAGAAUAAAGUACAUGAUAGGCCACAUCAUCUGAGACCAGAGAAGCUCUUAACUCCAUUAGCAAAACAGUACUUUAAAGUUAAAAAAAGAGAUGAAGACCAAGCUUGUAGAAGACUAGGAAACAUUCAGCAUUAUCCCAUUUCUCCUCUUCAAGAGCUCAAAGGUUUUAAGAUCGGAUUGGGAGAUUCCAGGACACCCCCGUGUCGAAAAAAAAAAUGCAUGUAUAGUAUAGUGCAGCAUUUCGACAUACAUAUACUUUAUUUUGCCAUCUUUUAGAUGAUGUUGUUGACGGUAUGAUGGUGUUGACGGUACAUGCAUGUGCCGCAGAUUUGACAAACCUCGCUAAUGUUGCAUUUUUUUUUAGUAAAACAUAUUACUUGACCUCUGAAAGAGAAGGUCGCGGAAAGCCUGUUAUCUUUUGGCUUUAGAUGGAAAUAUGGUCCUAUACUAUACAAUGGGAAUAAGCCAGCAAUAAUAUCGAGUAAUCCCCAUUUUAUUUUAUGAAGAAGAAUGGGAUCCCACUAGACAAAAUCUUAUCCAAAUAAAGAAGUUUGUAUCCGUGGAAAUAGACAUUCUGCAUGAACACAAUAAUAUAUAGCUCAAGAUGGCAUUAGUACAGCAAGUUUUAGUUUACACUAAAUUUUCCGGUGAAAUUGUUCAGUUUUUUAUUUAACUUCCUUACAAAGCAGGAUAAAAUAAUUACCAGUUGGACUAAUCUAAAGCUACCAUACUACUAGCAAACAUGCCAAGUGUUUCUGUCGUCUCCUAAUCUACAAAGCAGGACAAAAUAAUUGCCGUUGUCUCCUAAUCUCCAUCCCAUCAAGCGUAGCACCUUUGAGUUUUGGCAAGGAAUAAUCCAAAGUUGGAAGAUUCAAGUCCAGAUCGAAGCGGCCGGUUAACUUUGAGAUCAACUAUGGUGUUGGAAGAGAAUAUUCUUAUUCUUUGGGGAGAAAAACGGUUACCAACUGCGCCCAUGAGAGAAAUGUCAAGCUUCUGGACUCCACAUUCAAGUCCUGCAAUUAUCAACGACUCAAUUUCCAACCCAAACACUCCAAGAAAGAGAGAAGCGUCGAGUCGAGAAUUCCCCAUUUCUGACUCUGAGGAGAAUAACUCUCAGGCCAAAGUUUAUAAACUUGGUGAAGCGCACAUGUUCAAGAGAAGCGUCGGAGUACUCUUGGUCACAUUCAUCGUGAAACGCGGGUAAAGAUCCCCGGUACUGAAGGUCGAUAUUAGGAACUGAAGCAAAAAUGUACCGCCAUCUGGUGGAUAGAACUGAGGUGGCCGCUAAUUUUGUGGGGCGAUAUGACAAAAUGUGGCAGAGAACAGCAUCAGGAAGACCACUAAUCCUAUCAACCAUUCUUGAUUGUCUUCGGACUCUCAACCAACUCUCUUAUACAGACAAUAAUGUGGGAACUGAGUGAAAUGCCUUUGAUGAAUUAGCCGGUUGCGUUGAGUUUAGUUGAGAACUGAGAUGCCAAUCAUAAAUGCUACUACUACUAUUUUUCUUCCAAAAUCUUUACUAGAUCUCUUGGAAUCCCUUUAUCUUCCAUCUGAGGAAAUGGAGAUUUGCUUCGUUAAUAGUAAUUUACCUGAUGCAUGGCACACUUAAUUAGCCUUUCGGUUUUUCCCAGGAUUACAGAUGCAUGCGUCUCUAGAAUUGUACUUUAACAACAACAGUUACGUUGUAGACUUGUAGUACUAAUUAUAGACGUGGAGAAGCCUUAGAAAAGGAGAAAUCUACUGAGACACGAAAAAGAUAAAGAACAGAAUAUCUUCGUCAAAGAAAAAGAAAAAGAAAAAAGAACACAGAAUGUCACCCCGAGCUACCAAUUCCCUCAAUAAGCAAUUUCUUGGUGAUUAACAAAAAUGGAUUGAAAAGCUCUGCGUUAAUAUUUAGACUAAUUGUUUAAAACUUAAGGGUUUAAUCAGAACAACAGCAGUGGCAAAAGUCACAAUCACAACGUCCUCAGCAACACCCAGUGUCACAACAGUAACCAGUACCAAAACAGUCAUAACCAAAACAGCAACUGCAAUCACAAAUACAAUCACAUCCCUGUCCACAGCAGCCACCACCACCGGCUUUGUCAGUUUCCUGCUGCUUCUUGUUCUUGGUCUUUCGCCCCAUGAAUGGACAACAUGGAAAGUGAUACAGCAGUUAUUUGGCACAUUUUGCAUUGUCAUCUUGUUCUAAUUUUGGCUAUUCAUGGUGCUAAGAAAGGAAAUUUCACUCAUAUUUGAUAUUUGUGUGAAUUGUAGGUGGUUAGCAUUAAAAAUGAUAUCUUGAGGUGAAUUUCCAGAAGACUUCUCAUUUUAGGGCGUGGCCACGCCUUAGAAGGUGGACGAAACCGAAAGACGGACCAUGAUCCAUGUGAACCCGAAGCACGGGAUUGGAACCUUGAAACAAAAGUUGUGGGCCUCCUAACCCUUUGAAGACUACUGGCGGCUACAAAAGGCGAAAGAGACCAAAAGAAAAGGGAUUCACAUUUUUAAAUUAGGAAUUAGAUAGCUUUAGUUUUCUUUUUCCCUAGCCGUCAGACGUUGUAGACUCUGCUUUUGCUUUUUGGCUUUCACGUUUUUUAUUCUUUUGCUUUGGCUUUGGCUCUGUACAAUUUUCGUUGGCCUUUGCGUUGUACUUCGCUUCAGUACGAACAUUAACGCAGAGACAAGGAAGACGUUUUCUUUUCUUUCUUUCGUCAUUACUCCAUCGUUCCAAUUUCGCUGAUGACUGUGCGGAUGAAAUUAACCAACCCACGCAAAAUUGACACGAUGAGGAGCGGCUAAUUUAGUCCUCUACCCAAAGGUCGACGCGAGGGCGCGGUCCAUAAAAUCUGUGAGAUCUAAUCGAAUCUUCAUUAUUUCUUCCAAGUUAUUGCUAUUCGUGCGUUUCCUGAAUUAAUUGUUCAUGGUAUUUGAUUAAUUGAAUAUCAACGGUCGGGUAUUUGAUUUAAUUUAAUAGCCUACUGCCACGUUAAUUAAAUAGAAUCCGUAAUUGUUCAUUUAGUUGACACCCCGUGGCGACCACCAUAAUUGGCUUUAUGAUGGGAAAAUGCAAGAUCAAAUUUAAAUAAACACUCUUAGCGUGUUUAUUGGUUAGGGUUGGGUUCUUCUAGCUUUAAUGCAAUUGGAUAAUUAAAUUCCUACGGUCGUACCUAGGGUUGUUAUCUGGUUAGGGAAGCAGUCAAUGGUCGUACCUUGACUGUCGAAAAGGUAAGGAAGAACUGGUUGUCAGAGCUUAUUGAUAACUAUAACCAACCUAGUGACGAAUGGAUGAAAUAUCUGUGCAUCGAUGAUCAUUUAAUUGGACCGUGUCUGAACAGUUGAUCAUUUGGGUAGAACUUUUAUUAAUUGCUAUUUUUAGUAAAUUGUGCUUUGUGAGUUAGUUUUGAAUUUUGUUUGUUUUAUUUUUAUUUUUAUUUUCCUCCCAUCAAAAACCCCACAUACUCUGAACUCUAGAAGAAACGAAUUAUCCCCAGUCCCUGUGGAUUCGACCCUACUCACCGCUAUAUACAAAAAUCUGUAUUUUUCUCGAGUAGGUAUUUAUUAUUGUACAGGUUCGGCACCUGUCAAUUUUGGCGCCGCUGCCGGGGACUGGUGCCUGAUUAAUUUGUUUCUUUUUGAGUUCAUUUUUUUUAUUUUUCUCUUUUUUUUUUUUGUAUAUAUUUUAUGGCUGCUAACAUUCCGUAUUUUGGUGAUAGACUGGAUUUUAAUUUUACAAGGGGUUAUGAGACUCAUACUUUUUCUAAUGAUCAAUGGGCUGUUGCAAAUUGUGGAGCUUAUUUUGCUUCGAAUUAUUCACCCAACAUAUGCCCUGCAUUUCAAGAUGGUCGAAGUACUCCAAUCGAUACUUUUGGAGAUUUUCCACCUCAAUAUCAAACGUGGUAUGACCCUUAUUCAAACGGGUAUGAGCAAGGAUGGUGGGAUGAUUCCACUUUUAAUUAUGAACAAAGGCCAAUAGAUUUUCAACAGCUAGAGUCUCAAGGACCGUCAUCCAUGUCAGGUAUGUCUCUUGAAGAAAUAGUUGAAUUAAUAGCUACUAACACAUAUCAAAUUCAACAGGAGACAUAUCAAAUUCAACAGGAGACACAUCAAAUUCAACGGGAGACACGUCAAUUUCAACAGGAGACAACAGGUUGAUUAAAGAGAUGGAAGAUGGAAGGCGUGAAUCGGCAUCUACAAUGAGCAAAUUGAUUUCUCCAUUUUGUGAAGAAUUGCCCUCAGCGAUUAUUAUCGACCAUGAAGAAGAUGAGAGUAUAAUUAUCCUGACAAAUGACAUGGAACUGCAAGAGUCUCAUGAAGAAAAAUCUAAAGAUGCAGUUGAAAAGGGAAUUCAAAUACAAGAAAAGGAACCCCAAUAUCAAAUUGUUCAAGUGGAUGAAUCCAGUGAACAAUCUCCAAAUGCGGUGACACCUCCCCCAUUCCUUAAUCAAUAUUCUCCUGACUCUUAUUCUUUAAUUCCUGUUAGUGAGAUUGAUUUUAUUAUAUCAGAAAAUUUUGAGUUUCAUGACAGGAAUGAGUUAAGAGUCACGAUGGCAAAAUAUCUCGAACCAAUAAGUGCUCGUGAUGGAGGAAUGAGUGAAGAUUUAAGGUCAUCACUUAUUUGUUUGGCGCCAACUACUAAUCCAUGGAAGACCGUAGCUCGUGGAGUCAAGAAUUACUCUAUCUACGAGGGCUAUCAGGAUUACAUAGGAGAUGAAGCACUGAAACGAGCUACACGAUUUUAUCCUCCGUGAAUAAACAUGACGAUGUCUAGCCAAAGACAUUAAAGAAAGGCGCUGCUUGGGAGGCAACCCAAGGAUUCUUUUGUUUUAGUUUUCUUAUAUUUUUGGAAUUUUUAUUAAGUGUUAGUGUCAUUUAGUGGAUUGUUGUUUUGUGGCAGGAAGCUGGCAGUUGGACAUACCACUCUAGUUGAUCAUGCCUAAGGAAUGAAGCUUUGGAAUUGAUGGUCAGAAGACUCUAGCUUCCAAGGCAUGCCCACGCCUUCCAACCCUUCCGAAAACGAAACUUCAGUCUUCUCCUUCCUGUUGGUGUUGCGUCCAUCGCCGCCACUCCACAUUGUGCACGCAGCCGUCUCCCCUCCUCCGCCUUAGUGUCUCACUUUCCCUCCCCAGUGGUCAGGGAAGUUUCUUUUCUUUUCUCCUAAUACUUCAUUUGUCUUUUCUACAUUGAGGACAAUGUAGGUUUUAGGCGUGGGGAGUGGCUUCCAUUAUUUCUUUUUGCUUUGUUACUCAAAAAAAAAUGAAAAAAAAAUGAAACAAAUGGAAAAAAUGAAAAGAAAACAUUGUAGUUAGUCGGCUUUUUGUUUAUUUCUAUGCUUGUUAAUAUUGGAGCAUGUUGCUGUGAUAAAUGACACAAUCAAGAUGCGUGGUAUGUGGGUAAAUAUACUAGCUAUGCAUUUCGUUUUCCCUUGGCAGUGUUGUUGAGUGUUGAAUACGCUGGACUUGACCCAUUUUUGAAACUUUUGGGAGCUUUUGAGCCUUAUAUGAGCACAUUAUUCUUGUUUGCUCUAUUUUUGUUUGAUUGAGUGGGUAUCACACAUGGUAUUGGCAUUCUAGAACUUGCUAAUUUAUACAUGUCGAGACCACAUUUUUUUGAAUUGGAUGCAUUUGAAAUGAUAAGGGCAUUUAGGAUUUAAUCCUCUUUAGCUAUCUAAAAACCAAGCCCUCAUCUUAUCUCCAAUAGUGAACCAAUUUGAGCUUUUAUCUCUCUCUUUGUUUGUUAGCCGUAUUGGAUAAUCCAUGACCCUUUUUAGACUCUUUUGUCCAACCUUGUGUCAUUAAGCGAUGUCUGAAAUUCAUUACUUGUGCAAGGUAAAUAAAUCUGUGGUGGCAAGUGUUGUAAAAAAGAUGCUGGAUGGUGCUGUUUCUGUAUAUCUGAGAUCGAAAGAAAAGCCAAGAAAAAAAAGAAAGAAAGAAAAGAAGGAAAAAAAAAGGAGAGAAAUCGGCAAAAAGCUGGUGAGCAGAAGACUCUGUCUUCCAGGGCGUGCCCACGCCUUGCUAGACGUCCUCUCCAAAAAAAAAAAAAAAAAAAAGGAGAAGGAAAAAGAGGAACGAGUUUCGACACUUGCACAAUGAAAACAGCAAAUGGAAACGCCCUACUUGAGAACCUACCCCGAUAAAGCAUUGUGGUUAUGUAGUGGAUAUCGGACAUUCUCUUGACACAUACACCCUAUUUUUACCUUCUUAUCCCGCCUUUUACCUAAAUCUCAUUACAACCCUAUUAAAGUCCCUUUGAUUUGUGUAUUUAGUUCACUUUCGAGUGGUGGAGAUGUGAUAAAUGUGCAAACUUAUAGUAAUGUCAUUCCAUGAUGUUGAUUUGAGCGUUUCUAGUAUUCAUACACUUUCUUGGAGGUAACGAGUAUUACUGGUCAUAUUCUUUUUGGACUCCUACCUAUCCAGUAUGUUCUAAUCUUGGUGACAUUGUCAGGGACCUUAGAUGCUUGUGUUAGUAUAGACAACUCCAUAACCUCUGCUCUCUUGGUUGUACUUCUGAGCUCCGAAAUGCUUGAGGGCAAGCAUUGUCUAGGUGUGGGCGGAUUUGAUAGAGCAGUUAUUUGGCACAUUUUGCAUUGGCGUCUUGUUCUAAUUUUGGCUAUUCAUGGUGCUAAGAAAGGAAAUUUCACUCAUAUUUGAUAUUUGUGUGAAUUGUAGGUGGUUAGCAUUAAAAAUGAUAUCUUGAGGUGAAUUUCCAGAAGACUUCUCAUUUCAGGGCGUGGCCACGCCUUAGAAGGUGGACGAAACCGAAAGACGGACCAUGGUCCAUGUGAACCCGAAGCACGGGAUUGGAACCUUGAAACAAAAGUUGUGGGCCUCCUAACCCUUUGAAGACUACCGGCAGCUACAAAAGGCGAAAGAGACCAAAAGAAAAGGGGAUUCACGUUUUUAAAUUAGGAAUUAGAUAGCUUUAGUUUUCUUUUUCCCUAGCCGUCAGACGUUGUAGACUCUGCUUUUGCUUUUUGGCUUUCACGUUUUUUAUUCUUUUGCUUUGGCUUUGGCUCUGUACAAUUUUCGUUGGCCUUUGCAUUGUACUUCGGCUUCAGUACGAACAUUAACGCAGAGACAAGGAAGACGUUUUCUUUUCUUUCUUUCGUCAUUACUCCAUCGUUCCAAUUUCGCUGAUGACUGUGCGGAUGAAAUCAACCAACCCACGCAAAAUUGACACGAUGAGGAGCGGCUAAUUUAGUCCUCUACCCAAAGGUCGACGCGAGGGCGCGGUCCAUAAAAUCUGUGAGAUCUAAUCGAAUCUUCAUUAUUUCUUCCAAGUUAUUGCUAUUCGUGCGUUUCCUGAAUUAAUUGUUCAUGGGUAUUUGAUUAAUUGAAUAUCAACGGCCGGGUAUUUGAUUUAAUUUAAUAGCCUACUGCCACGUUAAUUAAAUAGAAUCCGUAAUUGUUCAUUUAGUUGACACCCGUGGCGACCACCAUAAUUGGCUUUAUGAUGGGGAAAUGCAAGAUCUAAUUUAAAUAAACACUUUUAGCGUGUUUAUUGGUUAGGGUUGGGUUCUUCUAGCUUUAAUGUAAUUGGAUAAUUAAAUUCCUACGGUCGUACCUAGGGUUGUUAUCUGGUUAGGGAAGCAGUCAAUGGUCGUACCUUGACUGUCGAAAAGGUAAGGAAGAACUGGUUGUCAGAGCUUAUUGAUAACUAUAACCAACCUAGUGACGAAUGGAUGAAAUAUCUGUGCAUCGAUGAUCAUUUAAUUGGACCGUGUCUGAACAGUUGAUCAUUUGGGUAGAACUUUUAUUAAUUGCUAUUUUUAGUAAAUUGUGCUUUGUGAGUUAGUUUUGAAUUUUGUUUGUUUUAUUUUUAUUUUUAUUUUCCUCCCAUCAAAAACCCCACAUACUCUGAACUCUAGAAGAAACGAAUUAUCCCCAGUCCCUGUGGAUUCGACCCUACUCACCGUUAUAUACAAAAAUCUGUAUUUUUCUCGAGUAGGUAUUUAUUAUUGCACAGGUUCGGCACCUGUCAGAAAGCAUAAGCAUGACACCGUCUUCUUCUUCUUGUUGACUCUCUAUGACAAUGUUAGAACAAAGCCCAGAUUUUUUUUUUCUUCUUAAGGAAUCAUCAAUUUUGUACUUACAUAACCUUGUAGUACCGUUUAUAUAACACUUUCUCCUGUAAAAUAAUUUCCUAUGUUAGUGUAAUAUUAGCAUCAAUUAGGAUCACAAAUUAAGAUAUUAUCUGGUAUUAUUGGAUAUCGUUGUAAGAAUUCUUAAGAUAUUAUCUGGUAUUAUUGGAUUAUCUGUAAGAAUUCACCUCAAAAUUUUAAUUAACUGCUUCUCAUUGGAUAUCGUUGUUCUUCACCAUCUUAUUUUAUCCACAUUUGUCCCUCACUCUUUUUCUCUAUAUAUAUAUAUAUAUAUAUAUAUAUAUAUCUGUUUCUCUAUUUCUUAUGGUGAAUAUUACUUUCUCUUUCAAUUUGUAAACUAAUUCUUGUCAUUAACAAAUUAGAGUUACAAGCAAAUUGAAAGACAAUAAAAUUAUGGAUUUCAUCUGCUUUUCUGAAUCAUCAAAAGGAUUAAUGAGCAAGGUAAAAUUCACUACUACAUGUGAACUUGCUGACUGUUUGCCCACAAAAUUCACUAACAUUGCAAGCGUAAACAUUCAGCUUCAAUGGGUAUGUUCUUAUAUUUUUGUCAUAGAUAUUUCCAAACAACAUUAAAACCAAUGAAAUAGCAAUUUGGGGAAAACGUUACAAUUUUUGUUUUUACCGCUGGUAUUUAAUAGAUGGAUAUGUUCUUAAUAUUCACUGUUAUCUCUCUGUAAGACUCCGCAUUAUGAUUGCCAUUAAAUUAGAUCAAUGUCGAUCAAGUUGAAAUUGUUUGCAGAGGAACUAGGCUGCUACUUUUCUGUUUUGUGAAUUGGAUUGAUAAUAUUAUCUCGUUGUAGGCCACAAGUGUCAGUGAAGCAGCAAGCAGUGAUAGUGCCGAAACAUUGUGAAAGGCUCAAAAGUGUGCUUAAGGCAGAGUCAGCCUGGAACCUCUAGAGCAUCUUAUUGCACUUUUCGCAUUCUCCAACUGCAACAUCAGGCUGUGGUUUCCCAUCAUUUUUGAAGAAAGAUGAGGAGGUAUGUGGGUUGGAAAUGACUCCACCCAACUUACUCGAAGUACAGGGGAAUUGGUCCAAGUUUGUUUAAGUCAUGUAAUUGGGCCUAAAUGUAGGGUGGUAUCUGCACUAGUAAGUGUUCUUUAUGGCUUAAUCGAUGGAAUUUAGCUUAAUUUUUGCUCUUUAGGAUUUUGAGUGAUAAAUUGUUGCAUUAGUCACCAGACCAAACCUUUCUAUGGCUCAUGUUUCUACACAAUGUCAUAACUGAAGCAGAACUGUGAUGUAAUAUUGUUAUUUUUUUUUCCAGAAUUUGUUUAGGAAGUAGAGUACAUGCUUUUUGGACAAAGAACACCAAGGUUCCCAUAUUGUUCUUAUGAGAAUGUCAAGAGGGAGGAGUUAUUUUCGCUUAUCAGUCAGGUUUUGAAGAUGGAAGGUAGUUAUCUGUGAGUUUGCCCACCAAAAUGCCAUAAAUUGCUCAGAAUGUGGAAAUGAAGGUAAAAAAUGCUGACUGCAUGUCUGUUGGCCUAUUUCAAUGGCUUUUUUUUUAUAUAUCUAUUUUCUGGAAGUAUUUAACAAAAUAAAUCAAAUAUUGAACCUUUUCUCCUUGUAGCAUGCUGAAAACAGAGUGGCUUGUGACAGGCUUGUAGAAAGUACUGGAGAGCUAUCAACGUGCAAGACUUGCUUGAAGAAAACUGGACUUACUGAUACUUAGUUCCAGAGGUGAGAAGAUUUGAUGGAAAGAAGUUAGACAUUGUAGACAACAUUGACGAUCAUUUGGACGACAUAAAUGAAGCAUGUGAUUGCAGUGUCAAUCAUUCAUUUGGGUGGAAACAGUUAAAGGAUUUGGUGCAAGAACCUCAUUUAAAGGGACUCAUGGUACAACUGUGCCAACAGUUAGUCAUUCCAGGCAUCAAGCCCAGCAUUGAAUUUGUUUUAGUAAAAUGAAUACCUUCGUGGUUCUUAACUAACUUAAUUAUUUUGACAUGUCUACUUCAAGAUAAAUAGUCACAAUCCAAAAAAUUGCAGUUUGAAUGACCAAUAAACAGGUUUUGUUAUUGUAGCAUUCUAUUUGUUAUGUUUUAGCUAAGAAAGACUAGCAAACCUAAAAAUAAAUUAUAAUUAUUAAGAAACUCCCUUGGAAUAUGUAACAUUUCAGAAGACUAAUGACGGUGGGGGAUCAAUGAUAAAUGUUUCACAUGAAGUUCUCCAAUAUGGUUUCACCUAAUUGGAGGUACUCUGCCUCAAGCAUCUGCUUGUUAGGCUAGAUGAGCAUGUUUCAGCACGCUCAUUCAAUGGAAGGUGAUAAGUAACUCUUAAGAAUUGAAGAAGAAGGAAAUUACUGACCAAUACUGAAAGGAUAUUGACAUCCAUUUCCUGCUUCUUUCUGAUAAUAGUUAUCCAUUUUUUAUUUUUGUUUGGCCCAAAGAGUUUAGUCUGUUGGGUGAAAUCAGUCGGCCAAAAGAAGUUAAUCAGAGAAUUUAUGAAUGCUAGUACAUAAAUAUAAAUUCUGUAUUCUUUCUUCUGAUUAUUUUGCCAAACUAGCUAGUUUGGGUUAUCAUUUUAGAAAGAGAGGAAAGAUUAUCAUCUUACUCCUCCUUUAACUUUUAGUUAAACAUUUUGCUUUGAUCAUGACUUUCUUUUCAGAAAGAAUCACAAGGACAAUUUAUGCAAAUUUGAUUGACUUUUGCUACCAUUACUUUUUUUUUUCGCUUUUUAGCCCUUCAUUUUUGGUUGUCUAGUAGACGGGUGAUUUUUCCAUUCCAACUUGCAUAAGGACUUUUUUGGCUCGUGGUAAAAUAUUUAUAGAAAUAUCCAUUUGAGCAUUUUCAAGAAAUGUCUUAUGGGCUAUGUUGUAACAUGUAGGAAGCAGUGGCUUCCAAGCAAAAAUGUAAUGGAUGGUGAUGUGGUAGGCAAUUGCUCACUUAAGGAGUGAUGAUCAGUCUUCUAGAAAGCAAUGUGCGACGGAGUAAAUGAAGAGGUAUGUAGUCUCAGUGGAUUAAAGGUCUACUACUUUGUGUUUUUGAUGUCUUAAUCGAUGCAUUUUUGCUGUUUAGGAAUUUUUGUAAUACAUUCUUCAUAAGUAUUGAAGGUUUGACAUGCCUAAUUUUACCCUUAAUAUUACUGCAAUGUAACAUGUGAUGAUUUUUUUUUUCCUGAAUCUGUUUGGGAAGCAGACUUCAUCUUUCCGCUACUAGUUGCUUAUAGAGAGAUCUUUGCUUAUUGUGAACUGUUAAUCGGAUAUCUAUGUCAAUAUUUAAGGCAAUCAGUGUCUAACAGGCUAUGUUGGAACACGUACAAUGCAACAGUUUCCGAGCUGUAGUGUAUGAAUGUAGUUUCGAUUGAUUAAAAGCUUGCUUCUCUUGAAGUUGGCAUGUCUUUCACAUACACAUGGAAGUGCCUGAGAAGUUUUCAUGUAUUUUGCAGGUUUCUUCUAAUUUGAUUUGCUUCAGACAGAGGAAAGCAUAUCAAGGAACCAAUUUGCCGCUGAGACUAGUAGCCAAUUUGGUUGAUCUCGGUUCCAUUCCAUUAUAAGCUCUCUGGAUUCCUCUACUUGUCAAUCGCAUGAACAUAGAUCUCAUAUCAUUGGAAGCAUUGAAAGUGAGAGGAUGAGAAGGCAAGAACAUUGGAAGCUAGUUGCUGGAUUGUAGGCGUGAAAAAGUCCUUCAAUUCACAUUUCUAUUAUUUGUUGCUAUACUAAAGUUUUGCUCUAUAGUACCGUAUCCCAAAACUUCAGUUUAACUAUAUUAAAAGUGUCGUACACAUGGCUGGCUAGAGUGCAUGUAUUACUUUAGCUUGGGUUACCGAGAGAAAGAACAUUGCAACAGAUACUUGAGAAAAUGAAAAGAGCUUGUCCCUUUAUUUGUAAGGGGUAGGCAGGAUGUGGGGAGUGGUUGGGAGGGUGAAAAAUAAUUUUAAAAAAGUGAAAAUGAAUAAGAAAAUAAAAAGCUUUUGUGGAUAAACUAUACUACCUAUAUUAUACUACUCUAACUAAUAAACUAAGGAAAUUCUAUUGAAGAUUACAUUUUUUGUAGAGUUUCUCUAACCUUUCAAAGUUGUAAAAACAUUUCCAAAGGAUACUAUUUAUAGACGAAUUCAAGGUCAAAAAGUGUUGUUAAAGUCGAUGUGAAAUGUUCCUUGAAAUUCCCAAAUAAUGUUCCCACAAGUUCCUUGCAUCUCUUUUAUAGCUGUGGCCGAAAUUCUUAUCUACCAUAGAGUUGGAAAGUAGUGUGAAACUAGAAGAAGUUGCAGAGCAAGUUGUAGAAAACAGAAGAGAAUACAUAACCUCGGGAAUACACGACUUACGGUCACGUAUUCACAGCUCGCAUUUUCACUUCUGUGUAUUUAGUACCAAUUCAACUGAUUUUUUAUAAUGAUAGAGGCCGAACUAGCUCUUGUAGAAAAUAUAACAGUUGUAGCCCUUCGAGUUAGUUUUCCAAUACCUCAAGAAUCAUCCAAUAUGGAGUUCUGUGGACCAAUAAAUGACCAAAAUAUCUUGGACUGGUCAGACCUCUAUUUCAGAUUUCAACCAUGAAAAUGCACUUCUAUAUUUAGACUUUUUGACUAGUAAAACAACUGAACUGGACUUCGAUUCUCAUAUCAAUUAUAUAUAUAUAUAUAUAUAUAUAUAUAUAUAUAUAUAUCUUAGCUUCAAAAUGAUAUACAGAUCACCUUAAUCCGUUGCUUGUAACUCAAGAUAUUGCCAAAAUACCAUAAGGUGUCAAAGCUAUUUUCACUUGCAUUUUUCUCUUUAAGUAUUUUGCACUUCAUGUCUAUUUUAAAUCACUUCAAAUCAUCAUUAAACAUCCAAAUAUCUUCUUAAUUCAUGCCAUUUGAUAAUUGAAUUUUUAAACCUAUAAAAAUAUCAAGUUUUUACCAUUAAAAUCUAUAGAAAUGCAAUUUUUACCACUUAAACCUUAAAAAGGCAUAUUUUCACUAGAAACUUAAUUCAUCAGCUAUAAAAGUAAAUAAAACACAUUUAAAACAGGUAAAAUAUAUACUUAUUAAACAUCAUAUAACUCAAAACUUGCUCAUUUGCAACAUUAUUAUCUGCAAACGGAGGAUUAUGGAACGUUGCUUAAACGUCAAGGAUUACUAGGACAAUAUAAUUCAAUUUUAAUCAGGAUUUCCCUAAUCUCAAAAGCGUUGCUUUCUUCUUAAUUUGAAACGAAACCCACUGAGUUUUGAUAAUUCUUAUAGUAUAGUAUAAUAUUUCCUUGACCCGUGCACAUGACGAGUUUAUAUUAUGAAGGAAACAGUUAAAGAAUUUACAUGAAAAGCAAAAGGUAAAAAGUUCAGGAGCGUGUCAUUUGUUAAGAACAUGUUAAAAAUAAAAAUGAAACCUUAUUAAUUUACCUUUGCCAGCAUAAGAUGAAUCUAAUUAAUUUUACUAUUAUGAAAUGUUUCAAUUCUAAACAUGCCUACAUACAAUCAGCAUCUCAUCUGGUACCAAUAAAAAAUAAAAAAAAUUCUUAAAUUACAUUUUACCCUUCUAUGGUUUAAUACUUUUCUAUAUAACCCUCUAAUGAUUACAAAAGUUAUAUAUAACUUUGCAUUCCAUAAAUAGAGUUGACUAAAAUGUCAAAAGUACCCUUAUGUAAAGUUGAAAACUAAUUAUUAAUUAUAGGGGAGUAUAUAUAUAUAUAUAUUAUUUAUUUAUUUAUUGAAAACCAUAAGGAAGUUAUGUAAUAAAUCACUAAAACAAUAAGAGGUUAAAGUGUCAUGCAUAUUAUAUUUACAUUUUAGUCACUUUAGUCAUGUUAAUUUCUAGACAAGGAUAAUCUCAAUACUUUCAUGGAUUCCAUUACAGAGGACUAUUUCUACCACUUGGACACUUUAAUCCAAAUUAUAAGGGGAUUAUGUAAAAUUUUUUAAACCAUAGGAAAAUUAUGUGGAAAAGAGGUAAACCACAAGGGGUAAAUGUAAUUUAUUCUAAAAGAAUUUUAGUAAACAAUUACAUUAUAGCCAUAUUCAUCCUGAAUCUCAUAUAAACAAAAAUAUUUAUUAUCAAAAUAUUAUUAAAGCAGAUUUCAUAUGUAAAUAGAAAUUUGAAACUAAAUCCCUACAUUAAAAUACAAUUUAAAAAUUGGGUAAAGCACUGAGUUUAUUGUUUUGACAUUGAGUUCAAAUUCAAAGCAUUUAGAGGAAAAGUUCAUAGUUUAAUCCAUAUUGGCCCUCAUAAUUGAAGAGGUAAAAUUUGAAUGUAAGAAAAAUUCCAUGGCCAGGAAUUCAUUUUUACAUUUUAACAAGUGAUUAGCAUUUCCUAUCACACAAAACCAGAAAGAAGAAUAAAUUGAUCAUCAUAGUUAUAAGUUGACAGGUUGUCAAGGUUGUGCAAUAAUAAAACCUAUUCAAACUAAAAGUAAUUUCUGUAGAUAGUGGUGAGCAGGGUCAAAUCCACAUGGACUGGGUGUAACUGUUUCUUUUCAAAUUCACAGUAAUACGGGGGGUGUUUUUGUAUCAAGGGGUGACAAUUAAAGCAAUUCAACUAAAAGUAAAAUAGUAAAAAUUAAAUAGCCAACUAAAAAUUAAAUAACAAUUUACUAAAAUCAAAUGAGUGAUAAUUAAGGAUCUAGUCAAGAAAUAACUUCAGCAAUGGUUCACCUAAUUGAUCAUCGAUACAAAGCCAAUUCCAAUUAUUUACUAAUAAAUAGGUCAUAACUGCCAAACAAGCGAUGACAGUCAACCCUCCUUACUGUGUCGGUGAUUAAGGUACGUCUGUUAACCACUACUCUAAUUGAGAAAUAAUCUUCGGUAAAUCCGUAAGAUUUAAUUCCCCAAUUGCCUUACAUAUUAGAGGAGCCCUAUUCUAACCAAAUAACACACUACCAGGUUAUUUUAGAUUAGCCUGCGUAUCCCCCUGACACGAACAUAAUCGUGCCAGUUGUCACUAUUUCAAGGCAAUUAAACAAUUACGGAUUUAAAUACCCUAAUUGACAAUCGAUUACCAAAUUAACUAAUUAUCCGGAUCCAAGAUAAUCAAUUAAUUGAACAAUUAUAAACUCUGUAGCCAGGAAAUAUGCGAAUACCAAUAAAUAACAAAAAAAAUAAAAUUAAAUCGAUCUCACAAUUUUUAGAUAAACUAAAGCCUCCGUUGUCCCUUGACUAGAGUGAGAAAAUUAGCUCAUGUUUGAUGAACAAAAUCCACGAGAAAUUAAAGCAACAUUAGCGGCCAUUGGCCUCGUUCGUGAGAACUCAAUUUGUUCGAUUGAAUAAGGAGAAACCAGCAACUACAAACAAUGAUUCAAUUCCUCGUAAGGCUCCUGACAUCGGCAGGAGAACUCCACUAUCAAAAGCUAAGAAGGAAAAGUCCCCACUAGAUGACGAAGAUGGAAAAGUCAAAGAAAACUAAGCUAAGUAGUCCUAAUCCUCCGCAAUUCCAAUUCCUAUCUAAUACUACAUUACUACUUUGCAGCGGCAUCCAGCCUGAAGAGACCCACGAAGACUAGCCCUUCGUUCUUUUUCUUUUGUUGUCCUCCGCAAAUUACCAAAAAGGACUUGCAUCUCCCUUAUUUCAAAAAUGCCCUGGGAUAAGUUCUAUUAUGUGGACUCCUCUUCUGUUAAAUUGACACUUGUUAAUUUCCCUUUUAUUCUUGUCAAAUAUUAUUUUAAUUAUUAAUAUUUACUCAUAUUUGGUAUUGGACCCAAUUUCAGGAAGUGAAGCAGAAAACUAUAAAAAAUGAGAGACUUUUUGUAGAAAAUUGAGACUCCUAAAAGCUCAAUAGACCUGGCCCACAAGGAGAGGAAGAAACGGAAUGGCUGAUGAAGAAUUAAUUGGUACUAAGGGCUCUACUAGCAAUAGCAAAUGGGAAGAGAGGAAACAUUGAGUAGGGCCUUGCCCUUUGGUACCCUUUGUUGACUUAUGCGGCGGGGACCACGGAGAAUAGGGAAGGAAUUAGUCAUUUGGCUUUAAAAGAGCAACAAACGUACACAGAAGCUCUUAUCACUAGUUUUAGGGAGUUAGCUUUUUAGCAUAGUUUAGUUUGUCUUUUUUUCUUCUUUGCCGUCUCUUCUAGGAGGAGGACGAAGACAUAGCUUGUUUUCAAUAAUUACUUCUGCACUUUUGCAUGGGAUUUCCUCCAUGAAGAUGAAUUAAAUCCCUUCGUCUAGUCGAGGAACAACGGAGGACUUGGUUCUACUAAAUUUGUGAGAUCGAAUUAGUUUUUAUUUAUUUCCAUUAUUCACUGGUAUUCGUCUAUCUUCUGCUUUAUGUUCAUAUGGUUGUUUUAUUAUUCGAUUAUCCAGGGCCCGGAUUCUAGAUUAAUUCAAUAACCUGAAGCCAAUUAGGGUAGUUAAAUCCGUAAUUGUUUAAUUAUUCUAAACUGGUGGCAACUGGCAUGAUUGGGUUUGUGUCAGGGAGAUAGGCAGGCUAACUUAAAGAGACCCUCGUAGCGUGUUGAUUGGUUAGAAUUAGGCUCUUCUAAUUAUUCAUGCAAUUAGGGAAUUGAACUUCUAUGGUCGUACCUAGGGUUAUUUCUUGGUUAGGGAAAUAGUUAACGGUCGUACCUUAACUAUCGAGAAAUUAAGGAAAGACUGGUUGUUCAUCGCGUGCAUGACAACUAUAACCAAUCUAUUAAUGAAUAAUUGAAUUAUUCUUGCAUCGAUGAUCAGUUGCAUGGAUCGUGUCUGAAAAGUUGUACCUUUGGCUAGAGUCAUAUUGGUUAUUAAUUAAUUUCUAUUAGUUGUUUUAUUAGUUAGUUAAUUAGUUAUUUAUAUUCUCCAAAAACCCUCCAUACUUCGGACUCUAAAAGAAAUAAAUUAUCCCUAGUCCCUGUGGAUUCGACCCUGCUUAUCACUAUCUACAGAAAUUAUAUUUUUGUUUGAGCAGGUAUUUAUUAUUGCACAGGUUCGGCACCAUAGAAUUUUUGUGCAUUAUUUAAGAUAGGUCUUCCAGAAUUUACAAUAAAAGUAAUGUAACCGUAACAUAAUUAGUCAUAAAGGAAGCCAAAAAAAAUUUUAAGAAUUAAUUGGCAAUGAGAAAUAAUACUAACUAGUAAUAUGAAAAGUAUAAAUUAAGUACUGAAACUAUGAGUUAUGUUACUAAGUAAAUUAAGACUAGAUAAAUUUGAGGCAUUUGUCUCAUUAGGUCUCUCAAUGAGUUCCGUUACCAUGUAAAUUAUAUAACGAGAAUGCUAGUUCACUUUACAUCAACUUAAGGGCUUAAGUCAAAGCUAUGGCACCAGAAUUAUAGCUAUUACCCUCAUCUCAUAGCAAGAUUAUCGUUUUCUUUUCAGGUCAGUCAAUUUAAAAUUUCCAUUUAUCUUUAUUAGAUACAAAAAUUUUGUCAUUUUCAUAUUCGAGUCCUUAUGGAGGAUUCAAGGCUCAAAUUUUAACUAAUGCCUGCUGCUCUAGCUCUCUCGAAGAGUACUCCUAUUUUGUAACUGAUACGCUAAGUCGUUAAGAAGGUUCUUACAUUAAGUUAUAAGAAUGAAAUAAACAAAAGAAUUUUUUAGCAAGAAGUGAAUACCAUUCUAAUAAGUACUAAUUAACUACACUUAUAUUGGUUAUUAGGGAAAUGAAAGUAAAUAAAAUAUAUGGGAAAUUGAUAGCACAUAAAAAGUAGAAAAUAGCACAUAAAAAGGUAAUAAUCUCUUUUGUGCCUAAUAAUCAUUAAGCUUGGAAGUUACGUUAUUAAGAAAGUUCAAUAAAAGACGUCUGCGAAAUGCUGAGAUGAACUCACAAAGGAAACUUAAUUAGCUUGAGUGAAGUUAAAGUCUAUUAAUAGAGAAGCAAAAUUAGUAGGAUUUAACUAAUGCUAAGAGACAAUCCAGAAUUGAUGACCACGGAUUAAUUACUAACUAAUCAAUGGUAAAAAGAAUUUACAUGUGAUGAAAUUCAAAGUUAUAUAAUUCACUUCUGUAAUUAGUGUCACAAUUUAUGGUCAUAAAUUCUUGGAAGUUAUUGAACGUGGAUUACAAGCUUUUCAACUAAUGAUGGUCAUAAGUAAGAAGAUUUAACUAAUAAAAGAGCUUAUUAUUCGAAAUAGAAUUACGAUGAGUUGUCUAAUAGAACUAGUUUUUCUAUUUCUUCCAUUCUUGGUGACUUAUUUUCUGGGCAUUCGCCAUGCUCCCGUGUGCCCCGGAAUUAUUAGCCACGAGUCCAAAUGUGUCUUCUUCAAAUUGAAAUUCAUAUUCAUGAUAGAUCCCAGUGAAAUCAUUGAAUUUUAACAAUUGAACAACAAAUUUUGUACAAAAUACUAAACACUUUCGUAUAUCAAUUUUUUGUAUGGUAAUUACAAUAUUGAUACCCCCAUUUUCUUUUUUGUUUUUCCAUUUUUGCUACAACAAACAAAUUGUAAUCGUACAAUGAGAAUGGGUGGACUAUUUCCUAACAAAGUAUGUCAACAGCGUUCUGUUUCUUUGGACUUAGAUGUCUUCAACUUUCAUCCCAAAUACAAACCUAAUGCUUUGAAUAGAUGUUCUUUGCAUGGUAGAUCACUAUGAUUUUUCAUGUUAUUUGAAUUGAAUUUGUUAGUGUUUAUGCAGUUGUUCCAUGUGAAGUGAGCUGUAUGUAUUUCUAGCUUGAAUAAAUAUAUAUACAAUGUAUAUAGAGCUGUAAAACGAAUGGGCGGCUUGUGAGCCUAGUUCAGCUCGGAUCAUACUGAUACAAGCUCGAGUUCAGUUCAUUUGUUCAAUUAAAUGAGUUGACCUCAAACAUCAAAUUAGACACGUUUUUUAAAUAAGCCAAUCCAAACUCAUUUUUUAAAUAGGUCGUUUAAGUUCGUCUAGGCUCGUUUGCAAAUUUAUUCAAGCUAGUAUUACUAAUUUUUCUUAGUAAUUAUGUAGAUUUGCCUUGCCAUGAUUUUUUAAGAUUUGGUUUUAUUUAAAUAUUGGGAAUCUUCUUAUAUUUGGUGAAAAUUUUUUAUUCAAUAGGCAAAUGAAAUUGGUUAUAUUUUUUGAAUUGCAAAGUUGUAUAUGAUAUUUAAACACAUUUAAAAUUUUUUUAGUUUGAACUUACUCAUUUAUGUCAUAUAAGUCAAGUUCAAGUUUAGACUCAAGUUCGAAUUUGGAAUAAUUCUAAUGAGCUGAGUUUGAACACAAAAUUUGGCCCAUUACAUACACGAGCUAAGUCGAACCUAGCUUAGCUCGAUUAUUUAAUGAGCCAAGUUUGAACACCAAAAUUUCGACUCAAUUUAGUUCGUUUACAGCUCUAAAUUUAUAUGAACUUGUUGCAUUCUUUUGAGUGUUAUUUUCUUCUAAAGAUCCAACACAUUUUUUAUUUCUGGCUAGCUAUUUAUUUUCAACAAUUCAAAAUUCGUUGGUGAAAAUGAUAUGGUUCUUUCUUUGCAGUAUUUAUUAUUGUUAUUAAUGUUUUGAUUGAAUAUAAUGCAACACAAAGCCUAACCAAUGAGGGUUUUCUUCCCUAUUAAUCUUAUGAAUGGCAUAUUCGUUAUAGAUAUAUUGAAUUUAAAUGCGGCAGGCUUAAAUAUGGGAGUUUUUCAUUUUUAUUACCGAGAUUAUUGAAUUGAUGGGAAAUGAAUCAUUUACUUAAUUAAUAUCACAAUUGGGAUACAAUAACUCCAAUUAUUACACAAAAGAACUUUUUUUUCUUUUUUAAAUAGAAAAUGUAAAUGAAGUUACUAAAGUAAAUAUAAAUCUUUCUGAGAGUAGGCAGAAUAAAACUUGGGGAUAAUUUUCGAAUCUUUCCUUGAGGUUUCUGACAAUUUCACUCGACUCUUCUCAGGUUUAAAAAUUAUACUUACCCCUCUUGGCAUAGUCAAAUAUCAUUGAUGCCCUCCACUUGGUAGACAAUUUUAAAUUUAAGGCAAUAAAUUUUAAAAAAUCCAUUUUUCUAUCUCUUAUCUAUUUUCGCUCCUCUUUUUUCUAAUUAAUAUAACCGCUUUUUAUUAUCUUCAAUUUUAUGGAUAUUAGCAAAUUGAAAUCACAAAAUCACAGAGAGAGAGAGAGAGAGAGAGAGCAGAGUAUGUGUCAAAUUAGAAGGAGAUAAAGAGACUCGUAGUGAUACAAAAAUAAAUAAUGAAAUUGAUGAAAUUAGAAGAACUAAAGAUGUAAAUUUGUCAUAUUUUGUUUGUUGUCAAGAAAAUCUUUUAUAAAAUGCCAAUAAUUACAUAAGGUUUCUUUCAUUGGAUUAGAAAUUUUUUAUUAUAUUUUUAGUAUAAAGAUAGAGUUUAUUCUCUAUUUUUGAAAUAUUAAUUUUUUUAAGAGGGAGAACUACAUAAAUAGUCCCUCACAUAUUGCAAAUGUGAAAAUUUAGUCCCUCAGAUCGAAAAUGAUCGAUUUUAGUCCUUAAUAAAUAAAAAAAGAUCAAUUUAAAUCCCUUUUCACUGUUCCGAGCAAAUUUUGCCCGGAAUGUCUCACGCGCACAUUACGUGCCCAACUUUUAAAGGGUAAAAAGGCCAAAUCACUUAUCUGUUAACCAAAAUGUAAGAGACAAGGGUUCCCAAAAUUCUUCUUCUCCUUCAUUUCAACCAAACCCAAAAUCUAAGCUUCAUCUCCAUGGCGGAACCACCAACCUGUAAUUGCGGUGCACCGGAGAGAAUGAAGACAUCGUGGACAACUGAAAAUCUAGGAAAGAGGUUCUAUGGUGGACAUGCCAAAGUUCUGAGCUUCAGCUGCUUCACACCAUCAAAGCAUGGUUCAAGGAUCCACUAAGGUCUUUCUCCAAUUGGAAUUCUUCUCUAUCCUUUUGUCAACGGCAUGGAGUUUCUUGCGAUAGCUUGUCUCGCAUCAACAAAAUAGAGCUCUCAGGGAAGAAUUUAUCUGGAAGUGUUCCAAAGGCUGUUUUCCAGUUGCAACAUGUUGAAACCAUCAAUCUUUCAAAUAAUCAGUUCUCUGGUUCAAUUCCAGGCAAUUUGUCUUCUUGUUUGUCGCUUAAACAUCUCAAUUUAAGCAACAAUAACUUUACAGGGCCACUUCCCAAAGGCUCAAUUCCGUUUCUUGAGACCUACGAUCUAUCAAACAAUAUGCGUUCACGGGCAAUCCCAGAAAACAUCGGACUUCUAUCAAGAUAAGAGAACUUGAUUUUGGUGGGAAUGUUUCGGAAGAAAGAAUUCCAAAGUCCAUCACAAAUUUGACAAGCUGUCAAGUCUUGACCUUGGCCUCUAACCAAUUGGUUGGGGAAAUUCCACCAGAAUUAGGCCUCAUGGAGAAUUUGACAUGGAUGUAUUUGGGGUACAACAAUUUCUCUGGUGGAAUUCCAACAAAAUUUGGUGAAUUAACCUUUUUACAUCAUCUGGAUCUUGUCAACAGCAAUCUCACAGGUGAAAUUCCAUCAUCUUUGGGUAACCUCAUCAAUCUUCAAUACCUCUUUCUCUACCUCAAUAAACUCACUGGACCAAUUCCCAAAUCCAUUUUCGGGCUAAAAAGUUUAAUACCGCUUGAUCUAAGUGAUAACUUUUUGUCAGGAGAAAUCCCUGAAGAUAUAUUUAAAUUGCAGAUCUUGGGUUGAGAGGAAUCGCAGAAGGAAGAUAACGCUUGCAAAUGGAGGUUUGCACUCAACAUUGCAACUUUAGUCCCUUCCAUUUUGGUCAACAGAUAAGUGGUUUGGCAUUUUUACCCUUUAAAAGUAAGGCACGUGAUGUGCGCGUGAGACAUUCUGAGCAAAAUUUGCUCGGAAUAGUGAAAAGGGAGUUAAAUUGAUCCUUUUUUAUUUAUUAAGGACUAAAAUCAAUCAUUUUCGAUCUGAGGGACUAAAUUUUCACAUUUGCAAUAUGUGAGGGACUAUUUGUGCAGUUCUCCCUUUUUAAGACCAUAGGAGAGUUACAAUGGCUGUUCUAGGUCAGACUAACUUGUAUUAAAAAGAUAUUUGAGCAUUGAUAUUUAACUUUGGUAUGCAAUUGGUUGUCAAUGGUGUUUGUGUGUGUGUUUUCUUCUUCUUCUUCUUUUUUUGUGGCAAGCAUUGAUACUAUAUAUGCAAUUUAAAAUUUUUUGGAUGGCUAUUUGGUUUUAGAAAUUAUGUUUGAAUGAUUGUUAGGGAUUAGACUUAUUAAUUUACGCAAAGUGUGGAAGAAAAUAAUUGAGUAUACUAUAUUUUUCUUUCUUAGUUUUGUACAAAAGGGUCAUUUAGGAUUUUUGUGAGAAAAUCUAUCUUGUUGGACCUGCAUUGUUACAAAACAUUAAAAGGAGAGGACAUAUAUAUAAUUUUUAAAAUGUAAGGGGAGCUCUCUAUAAUUGUCAAAAACCUCAAGGAAGGUUUGUGAAAUUAUCCCGUUGUCCCUAAAACUUGGGGGUACACUAAACCAUGUACUUGAAUCAUAUUCAAGUGACAUAGUACUUUUAGCAAGGAGAUGAGCAGCCAAAGUAAGACGUCUAGGAAUCCAGCAAACAUUCCAAUUUGUAAAACCUCGUUUAAGAGUCAAAAUAUUACUCCCUCCCUUUUUUUCUCUGUUUUGAAACUCGGACCGGACCGGCCGGUCGAACCGGUUGAACCGGGAACCGGCCAGGUAGCCGGUCCGAGUCAAAUUUAAAAACCGGAAAAUUAAAAACCCGGUCAAAGCCGGUCAAAAACCGGGUUUGACCGGGUAAAAACCGGUUUUUCCGGUUCAACAGUAAUUUUUUUAAAAAAAAAAAUUCAAACUUUUUAAUAUUAUGUUUUGACCCCCUAAAUUGUUAAAACUUAUUGAUAUACCUCAAAUAUUUGAUACUUUAUAAAUAUUGUCCUAAAAUUUGAUGUUAUUUUUCAAUUAAAUUCAUAAUUUUAAUUCUAAACUUGUUAAUAUUUAUUAAAUAAUAUAAAUUGCUACUUGAUUGUUCUAAUUUCUUUGUAUUUUUUUGUUAAAUAUAUUUGAAAUAUUAAAUAUAUAUGAAUAUACCUUUAUUAAUAUCAAUAUAUUAUUAGAUAUUAUAUAUAUAAUAUUUUAAUUUUUAAAUAAUUUUUAUUUAUGACGUCAUCCGGUUCGACCCCUAUCGACCCCCGGUCGAACCCAUUGACCCCUGACCCCUGACCUCGGCCGAGUCGCUAUCCGGUCCGGUUCUGAAAACAUAGCUUUUUUUACAACUGACGUUUAAGAAACUUACUCUUAAGUACUUUUAUCUGUCGUUGUAUUAUUCCCAUGCAGCAUUAAUUAUUUUUUCACAAUUUUACCCUUUUAUCUCUCUUUUCCAAUACAGGGUUCUUAAUUUGGUGGGAGUUAGUUUGCAUGCUUUUGGCCUAGUAAAACAGCACCAUUUAAUACUCUAGUGAGAGAAAAUAUGGGUGAAUUGGACAAUUAAUGAGGGUAUAAAAGGAAAGUAAUGUAUAGAUUUAAACAAUGAAAAACUUUUCUUAAUUGGUGUGCAAAACCUUAAACGUCAGUUAUAAAAAAAAGGAGGGAGUAUCAAUUAAGACUCCAAAGCUGUUGGUUAUCUUCAGCACAUCACCUUCAAUUACAACUCGGUGCAAAAACAUCAGUUGUCAAAACCCCAAUAUUCUUAUGUGAAAAACCAGCAAUAAAUUGACCAUGAUCAUUCCAUGGUGCCACACCUAUCCCAGAACAAUGAUUUUGCAAGGAAAUUGCCCCAUCAAAAUUUGCCUCACAGAAAUUCUAUGGACGUUUUUGCCACUAGGUGAUUUUGACAACCUUGUUGAUGAAGGUGCUAAGUUUGUAGAGAUUGAGAAAGCUUCCUGAAAUUGCUGAAGUACUUUAGAGGGCUGGGUAGCAAGACUAAUAGGGUCCUUAAAAGAACUCUCAAAGACCACACAAUUUCGAUUGUUCCAAAGAGUCAUAUUCAUCACAAUUAACCGGGAUUUUGGACAGUCAUUUUUUGCUGAAAAAUUGCAUCGUUUUUCGUGAGCCUAUUUUUCUAUUACCUUUUUUCCUCACAUACAUCAAAUCGCUACAGUAAUUUUUUUACAAAAAAUCCAAGAAAAUGCAAUCCAAACAAGACAGUGUCCAAACCUAGAUCGCAAUAAUACAGUUCAAGAAAAUAUGAUUCAUAUUAUCUUCAGGUGCUACACAAAAUGAACACAUGGGAUAAACAGAGAAACCACAACUUUUAAGAUUGGAAUUUGUUGGUAGAAUGUCUUUGUAUGCCCUCCAAACAGAAGCUUUGAUGUUGUUGGGAAUGUUUAGCGAUUCCAAUGGUUAUUAUAAGUGUCACUGCUCCCAGAAUGUAGGUUUCUCCAACACGAAGUUGGUUGCUUGAUGAGAUGGUAAGCACUGUUCUAGGGAAAACAACCAAAAAGCUUUCGUCUUGCCAGUUGUUGGUUAAUUUAUAAAUGCGAAAUUGGAGCCUCAAACAACGAACCGACAAGUAAAGCGUAAUUAAAGUUUAAGGUCUCAACUCUCAACUCUCAAUGAUAUUACAAAUUAAACAAAGUAAACACAAGUUUCAAGAUUUCAAAUAAGAUUUUUAAAUGCGUGGUAAAACAACAUGAACUCCAUGUAAAAGAUAACUCCAAUUUUCUUUUUUUUUUUUUCUAUCCUAUGUAUUUUUUAUUUCAAUAAAACUAGCAAAUACAUCAUAAUUUUCAUCCUGCUAGUUGUUGCAUUCAUUUAUAGAUGCAAAAUCAGAGCCUCAAAGAAUAAAUGGCUUGAUUAAGCUCUAUUAGGAAACUAUGAAUAGUUUCGACAUAUUGUGUUGCCUUUUCAAAGUAUUCAUGUGUUGCAAUCUUCUAAAAAUUAUUGAGGGCUAGAACCCACUGAAUGUCUCAUAAAUAGUGUCUCCAUAAGCAAAUGUAUUUUCUUAUGGCCAAUAUUUGCGAUCAAUUAAUCACCAUUGUCUCCAUAGCGCUUUUUUGCUUUUCAUUCUCAUAAAACGUUAACAGUUACCGGUGCAUUUGUUAGUGGAACAGGUAAGGAAUCUAAAUAAAGUGGGUUGGCCCUUAAAAAAUGAAUGGUAAACGGGGAUUUAACUCGUGAUACGAAUUACAGAUCAUGUAUUCACAUCCAAACACUAUUCAAGAUAACUUCUUUAAAGCCAAAUGUAACAGAUAAAAUCAUUUAUCCAAACAAACUCAUUGAUAUCAAUGAUCUUUUUUUUUUUCCUAAAAUCUAACAAAAAAUUUUCAGUUACCCAUCAUUUUGAAAAUUUCAAAAUAAAUAUUAAAUAAUAAGUAUAAUAUUUAAAAAUAAAAAUUGAAUAAUAAGUAAAAUAUUUACAAAAAAAAAUUAAAUAAUUUGUAAGAUUUGAUUAGGCUUGACGAGUACUCAAGCAUAGUAUUUUCACUUGCACCUGUACUUUUUUCACCCUUAUAAUCUAACACCCGUCUCUUGCACAACUAAUGUGGGAGUCCAAAUAGAAAUGGGAAAAAAUAAAUCAAAAUAACGAGUCUUAGCAAAUUUCUACAUCAAAUAUGAAUAAAAAAAAGCCUAAGUUUUAACUCUAAUAAUAAAUCUUAUGUAACAUAAACAAAAACUAAGUUGCAAUUUUCAAUAAAACAUUGGCAACAAGUCUAUAAAUCUAAAAUUGUAAAGGUCAAACAACUAUUUUUAAUUGUGAUGGAGAUUUGUAUUAAUAUUUAGGAAAUUUCUUUUGUUUUAUAUCUUAUGAUUAACUUUGAAAUGAAACAGAAAAAUAUGACUUUGUUAUACAAAAAUUAAUUACUGGAUUACGAGGUGGGCAAAAAAUUCGGUAAUAUACCUCAAACAUUUUAAAAUUUUGAGUAGACAUAGAUGAUCUAAUUACUAAGAUGAACAUUUUAAUAUUUUUUGUAUUGCAAAUGAUUAUUACUUAUUAGUUUUAGGGUCUAUCUAACCAAAGAUGUAAUAUCGGUAUUAAAUUUUUAGAAAGAUAAGAUUAAUUAGGAAUAGUAUAUAAAUACAAGCGAGGGUAAUAAUUAUUAGUGUACUUAUGUACAAGGUAGAUAGGUGAAAUUUAGGUGUAUUAAAUGAGUGCCCAUUGGACACCGUCCGUUAAAAAAAAUCUUAGUUUUAUUGGCCAAUUUUUGCAAGUACUAAUUUGGAAAUCACUUAUGCAAUUAACAAAUCUAAUCCCUACGGCACCUUGCACAUUGCUAGACUUAUUUCAUCUAAAAGAAGGUACAUAGACAAUUCAAUGUUAUAGGAUACAGUAUUAUAGGAAACAUUUUGGUAGAAGCUUGUCUUUGUGGAGUGGAAGUUUAUCUUAUUAGCUCUUUACUUUAUUUUGGUUUAGUGUAAUUAACCAUUUAUGUUUUAGGUAAAGUUUUUGGUUUUUUGCCAAGCAAGAGAAGUAUAAGAUUUAAGAAGUGAAAAAAGAACAGAGAGAUUUAAGAUUUUCAUGCACUGACGAUAUAUGUACUAACUGAUUUAGAUACAUAUCAUAUAGACAAAAAUUUAGUUCUAAAAUUCAAAUUGAGAUAAUACAGCAUGCAUUUAAAUUUAUCGAUAUAUAAAAAACCCAGGACCAAGAAUAUUAAAGUGAAAUGCGCGGAUUGUGAGUCAUGCAUGGGGUAAUUCAUGUACACUUUCGAUACAAUCAUUGUACAAUUUCAGCAUGAGCUCGUGUUGUAAUGGAUGUCAAGGUUAAUUUUUACCAUAAAUAGUCUCAAGCAAUUCGGCCAAAUAAUAAUUGAGACCUUUUAAAUCCGUUCAAGUUACUCCAUUUCAGCUUCAUUGGUCAAACGAUGCGACAGAAACAAGGAAUUUGUAUUAAUUCCCUUUUGUGAUCAGAUUAAAAAAAAUGCAUUGUUCAAGCUAUUCUUAGCCAACGUUUAUUCAUCACAAUUUUUUUUAACAUACUAGAAUUUUUUUUAAGGUCUCGAUUCUCAAUGAUAUUACAAAUUAAAUAAAGUUAAUUAAUAGAAGUUUCAAGAUUUCAUUGAUUAUUAUCUCCUUCAAAAAAUAAAAUUUCAAUCAACUUGACUUCACUGUGUGUCUCUAUUUGAACAAAGAAGCAAAAUAGAUAGUCUGCAAAAAAGAUGUGUGUUUUUGUCUAGUGAUGAUAAAAUAAGCUCAGUGGGCAAAAUGCAACUUAUCCUAAUUAUAUUCGAGUUUAGUGUAAUUGACUCUUUAGUUUGUUUCAAUUUGAUUGCGAGAAGCUGAAAAUAGUUUCUCGUCACUCCUGGGUGGAAAUUUACAUUCCUCUACUUACAACUUUUUCCACAAACAGGCCCCAGCAUUCAAAGAGAGAGGAUGAAGGCGCCAACAACAAGACAAUUCAAUUGAAAAUGCUAACCUACUUUGAGGGAUUGAGGAAUCACCCUGAAUGCCUUUCUAGCACAACUUUGAGAGAUGAUCAUAGUAUAUGAUUCCAAUUUUAGUUGUCGGUACGUAGUUGUGUCAAGAGUGUUCAGACAAAUCUCUUUGCACAUAUGUACGCAUAUAUAUGAAACUCCGUGCACUUAUGAAAAUAUAUAUAUAUAUAUAUACACACACAAGUAUGUAUGCAUAUAUGUAUAUAUACACAUAAGGAUAUACAUGUCAGUGGAAUAGGUAAGGAAUCCGAACAGUAGGUGGAAAUUUAACUCAUGAUAGUAAUUACUGAUUUUGUAUCCGCAUUCAAAUACCUUCCAAGAUUACUUAUUUUGAAGCCAAAUAUAUCAAAUAAAAUAAUUUAUCCAAACAAGCCUAUUGAGAUUAGCGAUCUUUUUAUCUUCUAAAAUCUUACAAAAAAAUUUUCAAUAGCCCAUCAUUUUGAGCAUUUCAAAAUAAAUAUUAAAUAAUAAGUAUAAUAUUUAAAAAAUAAAAAUUGCAUAAUUAGUCAAAUUCUAUUAGCCUUGGUGAGUACUUAAGCAUAGUAUUUUCAAGCUCGAGCUUGAUUUGCUACUCAAGUAUCUCGGUGCUUGACUCAACUCACUUGUAUCUAUACUUUUCCUCACCCAUAUAAUCUAAUACACAACUAAUAUGCGAUAAACACAAUAACUAAUAUGUACUUAGUCCAAACGGAAAUGGAAAAAAAUCAUAAAAUUCAGCCUUAGCAAUUUCUACAUCAAAUGUAAAUAAAAACACCUAAUUUUUAACUCUGAUGAUAAAUCCUAUUAACAUAAACAAAAAUUAAGUUGCAGUUUUCAACAAAACAUUGGUAGCAAGUUUAUAAAUCCAAACAUGUAAAGAUCAUAUAACUAAAUUUAAUUUUGAUGGAGGUUUUGUAUUAAUAUUUAGGAAAUUUCUUUUGUUCUAUCUCUUGUGAUUAAUUUUGAAAUAAAACAGAAGAAUCUAACUUUGUUACACAAAAAUCAAUCAAUGAACUAUGAGGUGGGCAACAACCUCAAACAUUUAAAACUUUGAGUAGACAGAAAAUCUAAUUACUAAGAUGACCAGUUUAAUAUUUUUUUUGUUGCAAACGAUGAUUAGUUUUAUUGCCCAAUUUUUGUAAUUACUUAUUUGGAAAUCACUUACACAAUUAACAAAUCUAAUCCCUACUGUACCCUCCCCGUUGUUGCACUUCUUUGAUCUAAAAGAUGGUACAUAAACAAUUCAAUAUUGUAAGAAAAAUAUUUGGGCAGAAGUUUGUCUUUGUAGAGUCGAAGUUUAUCUUGUUAGCUCUUUACUUUAUUGUGGUUUAAUGUAUAUAACCCUUUACAUUUUGGGUAAAGUUUUUUUUUUCACUGGCAGAGGAAGGGUGAGAUUUGAAAAGUAAGAAAAGAGUGUGUAGAUUUAAAGUUUUUAUAUAUUGAUAGUAUAUAUAUUAGCAGGUUUAGAUACAUAUUAUAUAAAUAAAAAUUUAAUUUUUAAAUUCAAAUUAAGAUAAUAUAAAAUGCGUCCAAGCCGGUCAAUAUAUACAUUUGCGACGUAAAAAAGAUUAAUCUUUACUUUAUUGUAACUUGAUUGCUAGAACAAUUUCCUGUCGCUCUUGUCUGGAUACUGUACUAGUAUUCGUACAAUCAUUUAGAAUAUUUUCCACACAACAGGACCCAGCAUUCAACGAAAGAAGAUGAAGACCCAGCACCAAUAAAUUCAAAUGAAAAUGCCAGGGAACUCCCAUGCAAUUGAAUAACAUUCAAUUUGCCAGCAAACCAUUUCAUCCUACCGCACCGAUUGUGCGGUCAUGCCGUCAUGCAUGGGGCAGUUCAUUUGCGCCUUCGACGCAAUGAAUGUACAAUUUCAGCAUGAGCUUAAGUUGUAAUGAUUAUGUAAACAAGUGUCAAGCUUAAUCUUCGUCAUAAAUUGUCUCAAAUAGUUAGACCUUAUAACAAUUGAGACCUUUUAAAUCCAUUCGACUUACUCAUUUUCAGCUUCCUUAGUCAAAAAAUUUAACAAAAACCUCUCUUGAGGUUUUUGACAAUUUAACCAAGCUCCUUUCAAAUUUAAGAAAUUACACUGACCUCCCUUGGUAUGAUAAUAUGACUAUAAUGUCCUUCUCUUAAUAGAUAAUUCACAAUAUGAUGCAAGGGUUAAAUAAAACCAAGAAAAAGAAACUCUAGCUCUUUUAUUAUCCACCAACAACCAUUCUUUCUUUCUUCAUUUCUCUCACUCUUGUAAUUAAUGAUUCUUUCUUCCUUUCUCCUUUUGCCUCUAUACCUUUCCUCUCCUCUUACCUCUUCUCUAUAUCCACAGCUCUAUUUAUCUUAAUGAUGACCUACCGUACCAUAACCAUCUUUGUUUACUUGCUAAAUAUGUCACUAUUUUACUUGCGGGAGCAGAUUUCAUUGUCAACUAAAGAGAAAUGAAUAUGCUUGCAGUGAUGAUAAUAAAAUAAAUAAUGCAAUUGAUAACUAAGAAGCAUGGAAGAGGAGGGAUUAGUGGGAAAAUUGUUGGAUUGAUUAUUAUCCUAAAAACUCGUGUAGGAUGUUAAUAAAUGCAUUUGAUUUUCUUUACUUGAUUAAUAUUGUUGGUUCUAGUUUUGUUAUGAAUGGCUUUACUCUAUUUUGCGAUGUUAAUAUAUAUUCCUAUGGAGGUCGGAGUAUUAUUCUACUGGUGGUUGUAGGGUGGAUUAUCUUUUGUUUUGUGACAGUGCUGGGUAUUAAAUUGAAGUUUAGAGGUUAUGAGUUUGCUUAUUGGUUGUCAAAAGAGAAUUGAUUUUUCAAAAAUAUUUAGGCGAAGAUGAUAUUACAAGACAAAGAUUAGGAUUUUUGAAGUUGCUGAAAUUCUUGAACUGUUCAAAGGGUUUGCUUGGUGGGUUUGUCGCAUGCUUGGAAAUCAUUAGAUUUGGCGUUAGAGUUUGAAGUGUUUGCUUAGUGAUGGUGUUGUUGCAAAUUUGGAAGAAAGUGUUGAGAAAACUAAUUUUCUUUUUUUUUUUAUAGAAUAAGAGUAGUUUAAGGUAUUUGAGGAAAAAUCUAGCCUGAUGGGUCUGUCUUGUUUAGGGAUGGCAACGGGGCGGGGUUGGGGCGGGGACCCCUCCCCCGCCCCCCGUCCCCCGCCCCGUCCCCGCCUCCUGCUCCUCCCGCCCCGCCCCGCCCCCGCCCGGCCUUGCCCCGCUUCCCCCGCGGGUGUCCCCGCGGGGUUAAUACAAUUUUAUUAUAUAAUUUUAUUAUAAUUAAAUUUUAAUAAAUAAUCAAGUACUAAAAUAUCAACACAUCACCAAAUUAUUAUUCAUCGUAAUUUUACAAUUGAAACUCAUAAAAACAAUCAAACAGAAGUUAUUUGAAUACAAUCCAAUAUGAUAAAAUAAAUAUAAUUAAAAUAAUCAAGUUUUCACUUUUAGUACAAAUGCAAUCACUAAUUCAUUAUUGUGUUUGUGCUUUUUUUUGAGAAAAAAGUGUUAUUCUAUUAAGUGUAAUUAGAAAUUUAGUAUAAAUGUAUUAGUAAAUUUAGUAUAACUAAUUAAUAAAUUUUAUUAGUAGACAUGUAUAAUUAUUCAUAUAAUUGAUAAUAUCAAUUAUAUUACAUAAACUAAUAUAUAUUAUAUAAUACAUCUAACUAAUAAUAUCAUUAUCAUAAGUUUAUAACUAAUUAACUUACAUAUUAUAUAUAAUUAUACAUAUAUUUAUAUAUAUAUAUAUAUAUAUUUUUUUUUUUUUUUGUUUUGCGGGUGGCGGGGCGGGGGUAUACUCCCCCACCCCCGCCGCCCCGCCCCCGCCCCAACCCCGGCCCCAGAGCCCCCGCGCGGGUACCCGCCCCCAUUGCCAUCCCUAGUCUUGUUACCUAAAUAGUAAAAGUAAGGGAACUAGAGGUAAUUUCUAAAAUUUGAGGGAAACUCUUUGCAACUGUUAGAUACUCAAGGUCAAGGGAGGUUUGUGAAAUUAUCCCUUCCUUUUAAACAUACUAGGAUGCAGAAUGGGAAUAGCCCACCAAUCCCUCGUGACAUUGGACUCAACAUUCUUGGUUGCGUAAAAUUUAAGGUCUUAAUUCUCAAUGAUAUUACAAAUUAACUAAAGUUAAUUAAUAGAAGUUUCAAGAAUUCAUUGAUUAUUAUCUCCUUCAAAAAAAAUAAAAUAAAAGUUCAAUUAAUUUGAGAUCACUUUGUGUCUCUAUUUUGAACCAAGAAGCAAAAUGGCUAGUGUGAAAAAAAGAUGCGUGUCUUUGUCUCAAGUGGGCAAAAUGCUGCUUAUCCCUAAUUACAUUCGAGUUUAGUGUAAUUGGCCCUUUAUUUUGUUUCAAUUUGAUUGCGAGGAGCUGAAAACACUUUGUUGCGAGGAUUUUUUUUCUCCACACAACGGGCCCCAGCAACAAGACGAUUCAAGUGAGAAUGCCAACCAACUUCCUCGAAAAUAAAUUUGAAAAUUUUUUUGCCAACAAACAACUGCCACUACACGGAUUGAGGGCUCAUGAUCUGUCACAUAAUUAUUGUUAUUUCUUGGCGUAUUGCUGGGUUGAUGCAUGAAUUACCAAACGGUUUAACAAAAACAAGGAAUGUGCAUUAAUGCCCCAUUUUUUUAAAAUUAGAUUACAAAAAUGGAUCGUUCCAGUUACUCUUUUUUGAAUAUAUUAGGAUGUAUGGUGGAAAUGGCAUACCAAGCACCGAUGAUUGAGGCUAUUUAUGUAAUGUUAACACUAAAGUUGUUAAUUUAAAAUAACGUUGAUAUUUAAAUAUAUCUGACAGGUGCCGAACCUGUGCAAUAAUAAAUACCUACUCGAGAAAAAUACAGAUUUUGCAUAUAGCGGUGAGUAGGGUCGAAUCCACAGGGACUGGGGAUAAUUCGUUUCUUCUAGAGUCCAGAGUAUGGGGGGUUUUGGAUUAUAUGCUAACUAAAUAAAUUAACUGCAGAAAAUAAUUAAUUCAAAGAAAUAAUUAAGGGAAAACUCUAGCCAAGGGUACAUUUCAGAAAUGGUUCAGGCACUGAUCAUUGAUUCACACAUAAUUCCACAUUUAUUAAUAGACCAGUUAUAGUUGUCAUGCACGCGAUAAACAACCAACCUUUCCUUAAUUUCUCGAUAGUUAAGGUACGACCGUUAACUAUUUCUCUAACCCAAAAACAACCCUAGGUACGACCGUAGGAUUUAAUUUCUAGAUUGCAUUAAUAAUUAGAAAGGCCCAAUCCUAACUAACAAACACGCUACGAGGGUUUUUUUAAGUUAGAUCGUAUGCUCCCUGACAUAAACCCAAUUACGCCAGUUGCUACUGAGAUAAAGAUAACGAACAAUUACGGAUUCAAUUAUCCCUAUUUAGCAAAAUAGCCUAUGUGAAUAAUUAAAUAUUGCGCAUCUAUUCAAUCACUCACACGAGCUAUAGCAAUUAAAAGCAGGAAACAUAUAAAUACCAAUAAAUUAAGGAAGCAAUUAAAAUAAAUUAGAUCUCACAGUAAUUGUUGAACCAAAUCUUCAGUUGUCCCCUUGACUAGAAUUAAGAUGUUAGUCCUCCAUUAAUGGAGAACAACCAUGCGAAAGAGCUAAGAGAAGAAAACUAAAAACUAAACUAAAAAAACCUAAAACUAGUGAUUGAUAAGAGUUCUCUGUACGUUUGUCUCCUUUUUAAAGCCAAAAAGAAGUCUAAUGCUAUCUCUAGUGGUCCCCACACCAAAUUCAAAGUCUUGUACGUUUCUUUUCCUAGAGUCCAAAUGACUCAUGCUUCUUAUCCGUGGUCCCCGCACAUGUGGACAAAACCUCCAAAGUACUUGUUGUUCCAAAUCUCUCUACGUUGCUUUCUUUGAAAAGCCCCAAAUGACUAAAUGCCUUGCACUAACUUGUGGUCCCCACCAAUUCAAGGACCCAAAGGUUGAAUCCCUUAGAAGUCUGCAUUUUUCCAUACAAGUCCCUCCUUUUUGGUAAUUUUCUGUUUCACUCCUGAAAUUGAUUCCAAAUACCAAAUAUGAGUAAAUAUCAGCAAUUAACACAAUAUUUGUCAGGGAUAGAAGGGGAAAUCAAUAAUAAAAUUACUAACAAAUUAUACCCUAUCAAUUCCCCCCACACCUGAAUCAUGCUUGCCCUCAAGCAUGGAACAACAAUUGAACACCAAAAUUCGACCAUGGCUGUUACUCCAACUACCGUAUUGCCAAGACACCAAGAAAAUCAUAUAUCAAGCGACACACGUCAAGAUCCAAGAAAAAUCACUCCGGUUAGCAUCUAAACUACCAACUCCUCCAAUUUCAAGCAAACUAAUCUAAGAAAAAGGAAUAGUUGCUCACAUUUAUCAGCAAAUGGUCCAACUAUUAAUCCAAAUCUCAACAAACCCAUAGAUCGGUAAGCUGACUUUAGACACACACUUACACAACCUUCACCUUUUUUAUCACGUUUUUCUAUUUUUCUCUUUUUUUCUUUUUUUUUUUUUUUUACUAUUUUUUUUCUUUUUCAAUAAUAACAAAAGACUUAGUUUCUAGCCAUUAGAGCCUUUUGACGCGAACUCCAACAUUUGAUAGAUGGAGGAGCCCGGUUACUCAGCUCCAAUCGCUACGAGACCAUGCACUCAUAGCAACUACUACCUUUUGACGCGAAAAUCAACACUUAAUCACUUUAGGUGAAGAUCCCCGGUUACUCAGUCAGUAGUAACACUACUAGUGAGUACUAGUCAACUCUAUUAUUUACAAUCAUAUAACACAACAACUAAAAAUAACAGCAGCCAGCCUCAAAUUCCAAACAUGGAGAACUAAAAUUAAUAAUUGGACCAAUUCACAUGAAGAAUGCCAACAAUCAUUCCCUAUCCUAGAAGAGUUAACCAAAAUUGGAAAAGUCAAGCAAGUAUUGAUAUUCACCAAAGAGAUGUUCCUGAACUCAACUACAUCAACUUGAUAUCCUUUUAUUACUAAAACUUGGCAAUAGCAGAAUUAGAAACAGCGAAUCCAGUAUCAAAACUUGGUAUUCAUAUAAAAACUGAUCACUAGUAAAAGUAAAAAGAAAAUAAACGAAAAAAUAGAACAAAUAACAACGAAAAUAAAGGAAAAAAAAACUAAAAACUGAACACCAGAAAUACAGCGUACCACAGCUCUCCCCCCACACCUAAAUCCGACACUGUCCUCAAUGGAGGUAAUAUAGCAAUUAAAGCGAAGAGAAAAACGAAACUUCCCUCUCAAGCGGCUACGGCAUAGGCGGGAACGGGGGAGUGAAGCAGACAUGGUGGAAGUACGCGGCCAGGUUCUUAGAGAUUGGAGCCACCUGGUUGGCGAUAUGCAUUACUUGCUCAUCCGCGUGGUGAACCUGAUCUCGGAAGUGGCGCCACUUAGCAUCAGAGGCCAUCGGUGGGAGAGGCCACUUAGCAAAUUCAAAACAAUAACAAUUUAAUAGCCACUGGUGCCUCCCUCGUAGACAACCCAAUCAACAAAAUGCACAACCUAGGCACCUAGAGACUAUACAAAUAUCCCAACAAUACAGCAAUUUGAAUGAAUAUGCACUGGGUCUCCCAUUCAGUCAAAAUAAGAUCAAGGGGCACGAUACAGAAACUAACAAAGCAGAACUAGGGGAAAGGGGAAAGCAGCGGGGAAGAAGGAAGAAAGAAAAAGAAGAAAGAAAGAAAGAAAGAAAAGAAAAAGAAGGAAAGAAAAAAGAAAAGAAAAAAAAAUAGUUUUUUGGGAUUUUUUUUUUUAGUUUAGAAUUUGAAUUUUCCAAAAUAAAAUCGCAGGUUACAAUGGAAAGUAUUUUUUUUUAUUUUUUUCUAAAAAAAAAAUUUUUUUUUUCAAUAAAGAGAAAUAUAAAAAUAUAAAAAUUUUUCUUUUGUCUUUGGGUCGUCAAACACCGCGUGGGCACGCCAAGAUUGACAAACGUCCACUGAUCUCAAGAGUCACAAACACCGCGUGGGCACGCCAAGAUUGCACUUCCUGCCACAGUGGAGAAAAAUAUGAAGAUCGAUUACUACUCAACUGAGAAACGAAAAACGAAAGAAAUGAACAACGAAAAAUAAUAAAAUCAAUAUUUGGGUUGCCUCCCAAAAAGCGCCUUUCUUUAAUGUCUUUGGCUAGACAUUAUUAUGUUUUUUUUUCAUGGAGGAUAAAAUCGUGUGGCUCGUCUCAAUGCUUCAUCUUCAAUGUGAUCCUGGUAAUCCUCAUAGAUGGAGUAAUCUUUGAACACACGAGCUACGGUCUUCCAUGGAGUAGUAGAUGGCGCCAAAUAAUCAAGCAGUGAUCUCAAUUCUUCAUCCACUCCUCCAUCAAGAGCACUCAACGGUUCAAGAUAUUUGACCAUAGAUACUCUUAACUCAUUCCUGCCAUGAGACUCAAGAACUUCCGGUAUAACAAAAUCAAUCUCAUUAACAGAAAUUGUAGAGUCAGAGUUAAGAAAAUGCGGGUUAGGGAAUGGAGAUAGUGUCACCACAUUUGAUGAUUCUUCACUGGAUUCUUUCACUUGAAUGGGUUGCGGUUGGGGUUCCAUUUCUUCCUUUUCGGCUUCUUUUUCAACUGCAUCUGUACAUCUCUCUUCUUGAAAAUCUUGCAGCUCCUCAUCACUAGUCAGGCGAAUUGCACUCUCAUUUUCAACAAUGGUUUUCGAGGGCAAUUCUUCAAAUUGAGAAGCCAGUCGAUUUAUUCUGAAUGUCAAUAGACACAUUUGAUCUUCCAGAUUACUCAUUGCCUCCUUCAUCAUCUCAUUUCUCCUUUGUGUCUCCUGUUGAAAUUGAUAUGUAUUAAUAGCUAUUGAUUCAACUAUUUCUUCAAGAGACAUACCUGACAUAGAUGACGAUUCUUGAGACUCAUACUGCUGAAAAUUCAUUGGCCCCGUUGUAUAAUUAUAAUCGGAGUUAUCCCACCAUUCUUGAUCAUACCCGUUUGGAUUAGGGUUAUACCACGUUUGAGACCAGGGUGAAAAAUCUCCAUAAUUAUUGAGGGGGACACUCAGAUUAUCUUGAUAUUCGGGGCACAUACCGGUUGAAUGAUCCCUGGCAUAACAAAUUUUACAGGUUGCAGCAGCCAUUCUUUCUCUAAUAGAGUUUAGUGCCUCUGAAUAUGCAAACUUAGCAAAAAAACUAGUCUCAUCGCCUUCCCCGGAAACAAGAUCCAGACUAUCACCAAAAUAUGGAGUGUUAGAAGCCAUAAACUAUAUAAAAAAAAUAUGAGAAAAAUAAAAAAAAAUAAAAAAUAAAAAAUAAAAACAAAAUGAACUAAAAAAGAAACAAAUUAAUCUGACACCAGUCCCCGGCAACGGCGCCAAAAAUUGACAGGUGCCGAACCUGUGCAAUAAUAAUUACCUACUCAAGAAAAAUACAGAUUUUGUAUAUAGCGGUGAGUAGGGUCGAAUCCACAGGGACUGGGGAUAAUUCGUUUCUUCUGGAGUCCAAAGUGUGGGGGGUUUUGGAUUAAAUGCUAACUAAAUAAAUUAACUGUAGAAAAUAAUUAAUUAAAAGAAAUAAUUGUGGAAACUCUAGCCAAGGGUACACAUCAGAAAUGGUUCAUGCAACUGAUCAUCGAUUCAAAUAUAAUUCCAACAUUUAUUAAUAGAUUAGUUAUAGUUGUCAUGCACGCGAUAAACAACCAACCUUUCCUUACUUUUUCGAUAGUUAAGGUACGACCGUUAACUAUUUCUCUAACCCAAAAACAACCCUAGGUACGACCGUAGGAUUUAAUUUCUAGAUUGCAUUAAUAAUUAGAAAGGCCCAAUCCUAACUAACAAACACGCUACGAGGGUUUGUUUAAGUUAGAUCGUAUGCUCCUCUGACAUAAACCCAAUUACGCCAGUUGCUACUGAGACAAAGAUAACGAACAAUUACGGAUUCAAUUAUCCCUAUUUAGCAAAAUAGCCUAUGUGAAUAAUUAAAUAUUGCGCAUCUAUUCAAUCACUCACACGAGUUAUAGCAAUUAAAAGCAGGAAACAUAUAAAUACCAAUAAAUUAAGGAAGCAAUUAAAAUCAAUUAGAUCUCACAGUAAUUGUUGAACCAAAUCUUCAGUUGUCCCCUUAACUAGAAUUAAGAGGUUAGUCCUCCAUUAAUGGAGAACAACCAUGCGAAAGAGCUAAGAGAAGAAAACUAAAAACUAAACUAAAAACCUAAAACUAGUGAUUGAUAAGAGUUCUCUGUACGUUUGUCUCCUUUUUAAAGCCAAAAGGAAGUCUAAUGCUAUCUCUAGUGGUCCCCACACCAAAUUCAAAGUCUUGUACGUUUCUUUUCCUAGAGUCCAAAUGACUCAUGCUUCUUAUCCGUGGUCUCCGCACAUGUGGACAAAUCCUCCAAAGUACUUGUUGUUCCAAAUCUCUCUACGUUGCUUUCUUUGAAAAGCCCCAAAUGACUAAAUGCCUUGCACUAACUUGUGGUCCCCACCAAUUCAAGGACCCAAAGGUUGAAUCCCUUAGAAGUCUGCAUUUUUCCAUACAAGUCCCUCCUUUUUGGUAAUUUUCUGUUUCACUCCUGAAAUUGAUUCCAAAUACCAAAUAUGAGUAAAUAUCAGCAAUUAACACAAUAUUUGUCAGGGAUAGAAGGGGAAAUCAAUAAUAAAAUUACUAACAAAUUAUACCCUAUCA